AUCCAUGUUCGCCAUGGCUGCAACUACAGUUGCAUGUGAAAAAACAGGGCAUAGAAACCCAUUUCACAGACAAUCCGGGUCGCCCAGCCAAGAGAUGGAUCCUUUCAAAUGUCUGAUUUACUUGGAAAGUGUCAUCACAGCCACUUAAUUUUCCUGCACAUUUUCUCAGCAACCAAACAGAUACAAGAUCCUUCUCAGAAAACACAUUUUAAAACACAAACAAAAAAACCAAAACAAAACAAAGAUCAGCCUCAGCGCGGAAGUGAAUAGCGCGUAAAAGGAAGGCUCAGAUUCGCCUUUUAUCAGACAAGAAAAAGAUGACCGUCAUGGCUGCAACCACAGUUGCUUGUGAAACAAGGCACAAAAGGUCCCAUCGCACAAACCAUCCGGGUUGCCCCGCCAAGAAACGGACAUUCCCAGUUCCUGACUUACUCUGAAAACGUCAUCACAGCCUUUUAUGUUGCCCAUAUGAACAGAGAGAUACCCCUAAAACAGAUCCAGAAAACACAGGGAGCCAAAAAAAAAAAGCAAUUUUUUUGGUUUUCCUUGGGGGUUUUGCGUGGAUUUUCUCGGAAAUCAAACGAGGAUGAAUUUUCCCGGAAAUCGAAUGGGGGAUGGAUUUUCUUGGGAAUCAAACGGGGGUUGCAAAAAAAUAAUAAUAAUAAUAACAUGAUUAGAUUAGUACCUGCGAGGAUUGAGAGUGGGAGAGGAAAAUAGGGCCUUUUUAGGGAUUCUCUCGUCUGGAGGGCAACUUCAGAAAAGGGCUUCUAGUUCUUGAUGCCCGAGUGGGAGAAGCGGAUGAUGGCCCUUUCGAUUUUUAUAUUUAGUGGAGAGAGAAAACAAGGGAAACAAAUCAUGAAAACAAUUUUCCUCUCUAUAUAAAUAAUUAUUAAUCAUCCAUCUUUAUUUUGAUUAAAUUACUACCAAAAUUUCGAUUUUUAUCAGUAAUAUUUUAUAAAUUAAAAUUCAUUUGAUAAAAUAAAUUAUUAAUAAAUUUAUUUAUUUAAAUAAAUUAAUAUUAAUAAAAAAAAGUUAUUACCAUGUAUUUUUAAUAAAAUCUUAAAAAUUAAAUAUCAAAUAAAAUAUUUUAUAUAAAUUAAUUUAAUUUUUCAUUUAAAAUAUAAUAAAACAUGUUUCAAUAAAAAUAUUUAAAAUUUUUUUAAAUAAAUAUUAUCUUCAAUAAGAUAAGUUUCUUUCAUUUAACAAUAUGAUGGACCCACAUCGAUCUUCAUUUUGAUACUAAAAACUAUUGCAAUCUCAUAUAUAUUAUACUUAUGUAUAAAUUGUUUUUAUUCAAUAAAAUCAAAUAUUUUUUAACUCAAUUCUAACUUUAUACACUUUCAAAAUUCAUAUUUAUUAUUCUUAAAAUUUAAAUAUCCAAUUUAUCAAUAUGUCUCUAUCUACCGAUGUUUUUCUUCUUGAUCAUAUUUAAGUCAAUUACACUUAUAAAACAACUUAAAAAUGUGUAUUCUUGUUUAUUUUAUCAUUUUUUGAAGUUUUUCCAAAUAUCCCUAUGACUUCUACAUAAUUUUCGUUCCACCGGCAUUUUCAUACUUACCCUGUAUCUAUAAAAAAUAAAUGAAAACAAUUUUAGGUUAGGAGUUAUAAGGACAACUAGUAUUCAUGCAGAAAAUCAGCAUCAGAAUUCGUAACUGCAUUUGAUCAGCUAGUUUAGGAAAUCUGUACAGCUCAUUCUUUCCUUUAUUUUCACAUAUGUUGUUAUACGUUAGCACAAGUUUAGGAGUAAUUUUAGUUUCUCAAAUCUGUAUUUAUACCUCUUCUUCUAAUAAGAAUUGUGUGAAUCAUUUUGUCUAAACCUCUAUAUGGUAUCAGAGCCCACCUCAAAACUCCAACGAGUAUUUCCUGUCUUUCUCACUUCUGCUAUGGCCACUUCUUCCUUUGAUAGUUUUCCAAUAGCCAUCAAUGCCACCCAGCAAAUUAUUGCACGUCUCACACCAACCAACUUCCCUUCAUGGCAUGCCCAAUUUGAGUCUCUCCUCCUCGGCUAUAACCUCUUUGGCUAUGUCGAUGGCACUCAUACCUGCCCACCCCUACCGACGUCAACUGAUGCAGCUGCCACUACCGCUCAUCACCUUUGGUUCCGUCAGGACAAACUUAUUCUAAGUGCAAUUCUGACUUCAGUGUCCCCAGCUGUGAUACCACUCAUAGCAACCUCCCAGACGUCAUAUCAAGCCUGGACUAAAUUGACAAAACUGUAUGCUAGUCGAUCCAGGACUCGUGUCAUGCAGCUCAAAGAGGAUCUCACCCUCAUGCAACGUGGCAAUCGCAACAUUACAGAGUACCUACACUCUGUAAAAACCAUUGCCGAUGAGCUUGCUCUCAUCGAUGCCCCAUUAUCUCAAGAUGACAUCACCCUAUAUGUUCUUCAUGGCUUAGGAUCAGAUUUUCGUGACAUUGUUGCCCCGAUUCGAGCCUGAGAGUCUUCACUCUCAUUUGAAGAAUUACAUGAUCUGCUACUUGGUCAUGAGGCAUAUCUUCGAAGGCUUGACUCCACUGCUCAAUCCUUGGUAGUUACUGCCAAUACCACUCAACGCAGGGACUCACGCUCCUCAAAGAAUCAGUCUUUAUCAACUUAUCAACAAUCCAAGAAUGACUCCAGAUCAAAGUCUCGACAGUCGAAACAAUACAAAUACCCUCCAAGGUGUCAAUAUUGUGAUCAACAAGGCCACAUUGCAAAAUACUGUCCGAAAUUGAAACCCUCUGAAGCCACUGUGAACUGCACAACUACUACUUCUAGUCUAGACAAACGUUGGCUCAUUGAUUCUGCGGCUUCCCAUAAUAUCACUUCUCAGGUUUCAAAUUUACAAUUUCACUCUGAAUAUGAUGGUACUGAUGAAGUUAUUAUUGGAGAUGGAUCAGGUUUGCCCAUUACUCAUUCCGGUUCUCUUACUCUUUCAUUUCCAAACAGAAAAUUUCAAGUUGAAGAUACUCUAUGUGUUCCUACCAUUAACAAAAACUUGAUAUUUGUUCACCACUUCACAAAGCAAAACAAUGUUAUCCUGGAAUUUCACCCAACUUAUUUUCUUGUGAAGGAUCGGAGAACGGGGGAGAUUCUUCUUCAAGGACCGUGUGAAAAUGAAGUCUACCCUCUACCCUCAUCGCCUGCUGCUACUCCAAUUGCUUUUGUCCAUGAACGCACAUCAGUAGCUGGUUGGCAUCAGCGCCUUGGUCAUCCAUCCUUCAAAGUUGUCACUCGCCUCAUUAGUUCUUUCUCCCUUCCCACCACUUCAUAUCUUUCUAGUUCUAAUAAUUGUCAUUCGUGUUCUACCAAUAAAGCUCAUUAGUUACCCUUUCAUAAACACGGUCUAACUAGCACAACACCAUUUGAUUUACUUUACACUGAUGUAUGGGGACCUUCUCCCACUCCUAGUCUCAAUGGCCACAGAUAUUAUGUUAUUUUUGUUGAUCACUUUACCAAAUAUGUGUGGUUCUUUCCAUUGCAUCAAAAAUCAGAUGUUAAAACCAUAUUUCCUCAUUUCUACAAAAUGAUUGAAACUCGUUUUAACAUAAAAAUUAAAGGAGUUUAUUCCAAUAAUGGAGGAGAGUUCACUGUUCUUUGACCCUUUUUCACAACCCAUGGCAUUAGUCAUUAUACAACAACCCCUUAUACACCCCAACAAAAUGGAGUGUCUGAGCGUCGUCAUCGCCAUAUUGUGGAGACAGGUCAAACCCUUCUAAGUCAUGCCUCUCUUCCAUCAGAAUAUUGGGCUUAUGCUUUUGCAACAGCCACAUAUCUAAUCAAUCGACUUCCAUCACCUGUUCUUCAUCAUAAAUCACCUCUUCAAGCUCUCUUCAAGCAACAACCUCGGUAUGAAAAAUUACGUUCCUUUGGAUGUUUCUGCUUUCCCUUGAUGAAGUCGUAUAACACAAACAAAUUUCAAAAGAAAUCUGUUCCUUGUAUCUUUGUUGGCUACUCUACUAGCCAAAGUGCAUAUCUAUGUCUUCAUCUACAAAGUCAACGCAUAUACACCUCCAAACACGUAACCUUUGAUGAAUCUGUUUACCCCUUCAAACAGGUUUCCAUGCCAUCACCCACUGACUCAUCCCCACCAGAAACCUCUUCUUUUCAGGACCAAUUUUGCAGCUUGCUUCCAGGGAGCUUCCAGCAAUCACACGGGCUCAAGGAGAUAUCCCCUCUGCUUCUUCGACUCCAAGUGAAGAUCCAGCUCUUGUGCAACCUCAAGAGGCACCACUCUCCACUUCAGAUCAGGUACCUCUUAGACCUUCUACUUCUGUUUCUCAACCAGAAAAUUCAAUACCAUCCUCUCCACCACCAUGUCCACGAACCAUCAUCACUCGCUCCAUGAACAAUAUCUUUCGGCCAAAACAACUCCACACUACCACCAAGCACCCCUUACCUGAACCACCCGAACCAAGUUGUGUAAGUCAAGCUCUUAAAGAUCCUCACUGGCGCAAGGCUAUGUCAGAAGAAGUGACAACCCUCCUUCAACAUGGGACGUGGGAACUGGUUCCUCCCACUCCUGGCCAGAAUCUUGUUGGGUGUAAAUUUGUGUUUCGGAAGAAACGAAAUCCCGAUGGAACAAUCAGUCGAUAUAAAGCUCGACUUGUCGCUAAAGGAUUUCAUCAACGGCCAGGUAUUGACUACUCUCAAACCUACAGCCCCGUCGUAAAGCCAGCAACAAUUAGGCUUCUUUUAACCAUUGCUGUCAUGCAUGGCUGGCCCCUUCGUCAGUUAGACAUCAAUAAUGCAUUCUUGCAUGGUAAUCUUGAAGAAACAGUCUUCAUGCAUCAACCUCCAGGAUUUGAAGAUCCAUCUCAACCUCAGCAUGUUUGCAAGCUAAAAAAGAGUAUCUAUGGUCUUAAACAAGCCCCACGACAAUGGUAUAAGGCCCUUCGGGAUGCACUCCUCAGCUUUGGUUUUAUUCACUCGGCCACUGACAACUCUUUGUUCAUCUAUAAGUCUCAUGAUAUCUUGUGCUACUGCCUUGUUUAUGUUGAUGACAUAAUUGUCACAAGCAACACACUCAGCUUUGUGAAUAACAUUAUCAACAAGCUUGGCUCUACAUUCUCAGUCAAAGAUAUGGGCUCCUUGCAUUAUUUCUUGGGAAUAGAAGUGAUUCCAACGCCACAGGGGCUCUUUCUAUCUCAACAUCAGUAUAUACGGGAUCUCCUUUCACGAACCUCCAUGGAAAAUGCUAAAGAAACACUCACUCCAAUGUCCACUACAACCAAGCUUACAGUUCAAGAUAAUUCUGAAUGUGUUGACAGCACUGAGUAUCGCAAGAUCAUUGGAGCACUUCAGUAUUUGGGACUCACUCGUCCCGAUAUUGCCUUUGCAGUCAACAGAUUAUCUCAGUUCAUGCAGAAGCCGACAACAAACCAUUGGGCCGCAGCAAAAAGACUACUCAGAUAUCUUAAACAGACCAUGUUUCAUGGUAUCCUUCUCCAAAAGCAUGAUCAAUUCCAACUCAAGACCUAUAGUGAUGCGGACUGGGCAUCAAAUACGGACACUCGUGUUUCAACCACUGCUUUCAUCACAUUCAUUGGUCCUAAUCCAAUCUCAUGGUCUGCACGCAAGAAAAGGGCAGUCUCAAGAUCAUCUACAGAAGUAGAGUUUCGGGCACUAGCUACUGCCACAUCAGAAACAAUUUGGCUUCAUUCUCUUAUCAAGGAACUUGGUCUCACUCUCAUAGAAGCACCUCAAAUGUUUUGUGAUAAUAUUGGCGCCAACCAUUUCAGUUUAAAUCCAGUCCAGCACACACGGAUGAAACACAUUGAAAUUGAUCUCCUCUUUGUACGAGAUCUUGUCCAAAAGGGAACUAUUCGUGUUCAGCACAUCCAUACCAUUGAUCAACUAGCUGAUCUCCUUACAAAAUCACUCUCACGUCAACGCUUUCAACUAUUAAGAUCCAAGAUUGGUGUUGCAGAUGGCACCUCCAUCUUGAGAGGGCAUAUAAGGACAGCUAGUAUUCAUGCAGAAAAUCAGCAUCAGAAUUCGUAACUGCAUUUGAUCAGCUAGUUUAGGAAAUCUGUACAGCUCAUUCUUUCCUUUAUUUUCACAUAUGUUGUUAUACGUUAGCACAAGUUUAGGAGUAAUUUUAGUUUCUCAAAUCUGUAUUUAUACCUCUUCUUCUAAUAAGAAUUGUGUGAAUCAUUUUGUCUAAACCUCUAUAGGGGUGGACUUGUUUUCCAUGUUUUUUCUCCUCUAAAGGUUAGGGGUGAAAGCAACUUAUAGCUGAUGGUUGUUUUCAGAAAUAAGCUGAUCAUAUCAUAGCUGACCGAUUUCUUCUUUGGUCAUCUUGAAGCAAUUUUAAUAUUUAUUUUUCAGUCAGCUACCUUCUAUCUCUUCUUAGCUAUCUAAAAAUCCUCACUCAUCGGCCUCCCAAUAUCAAUGAAAUGGUGCCCAAAAUCUGAAGUGGCUUGAAUUCAGUUCAGGUCUAAAUAGUGGUUUCUGAAUGUUGUUAAGUGGUUUAUUUUUACAUGGCAAAACAUCUAAAAUUAGUAAUAAGAUUUAAUUAUUAUCUUUCUUCUUAUAAUUAACAAUAUUUUCAAAUAUCUCAAAAUGCCAAAAUAUAUUCCUUCUUAUUUUAUAAAAUUGGAAUUAGAUAUUUGAAAAGUAAUAAUUUGAAAAAAUAAUAAUAAUUUAAAAUAUUUCCAAAUAACAAAAAUACGAAAAUUGACUACAUUACAAUGAUGGUAAUUAAUAUGUAAUUAAUUAUGAUAGAAGUUAGUGUUUCUAAUUAUAUUUGGCUAUUAAGAAAAUGUUAGAAAUUCUCUAGGUUGAGUUUCCUUAAUUUUUCUCUCUUUUUUUCUAGUGGAUGUUUAGAUAAAUGUGAGUUAUGUUUUGGAGUUUUAAUUGGAGAAAUUCUGUGAUGAUGUUUUAUGUCAGUUUUGUUGCAUUCUGAGGUGUUGAACUUUGAAAAAUUGUAUUAAAUUCAGUUUUUGUGCAGAUUUUAUGAUUUUAAUGUUGUUGUUUUCCCUUUUGAAUAAGGAAUAUAAAAACAUUUACGGAGUUUAAUUUCUUCAAAAAUUAGAUGAGUUAUGAAACCAAAAUAGCAGUUGCAUGUGGUUGAAUCUCGGUUUUUAUUUUAGAACUUUUUGGAUUUAUUUUAUAAUUUGUCAUCCAAAUUAAGCAAUUCUUAUAAUUUUAGUUUUGAAAAUGAAUUUCAAAAGCAUAGGCUAAUUUAUACUUUAUGUAUAUGAGUUUCACUUUGUAUAUACUUUCUGUUUUUAAAAACAAAAAGUAGGAAGUUAUAAAGUAAGGGGGUGGAUUUAUUUUAUAAGUUGAUUUUGGUGUCAAAGAAAUUAUUCUUAACAUAAUUUUUAAAAAAUAAAAAAUAAAUUAUAUUUGAUUGGUAUUAUAAAUUAUGCUUUGUGGACCAAGCAUGACUCAUCUUAUUUGGGCCUCCCACUACUUUAAUCCUACACAGAUGACACAUUUUUAUUAAGAUCCAGAUCCUAUUAUCAUGGACUGGGCAAUGGAGGCUCAGAUCCGGCCGUAAUCAGACAAGUUGCUGGGACGCCAUGGCUGCAACUACGGUUGCCUGUAAAAUGAAACCCAUUUCACAGAUCACCCGGGUUGCCCCGCCAAGAAACGAGCCCUUCAUAAUCUCUGAUUUACUUGGAAAGUAUCAUCAUAGCCCCUCGAUUUAUUUACUUGGAAACAGAUCGAGGACCCUUUGAAGGACCCUAAAUACAUCCAACCAAACAAUAAUAAAUAAAUAAAUAAAGAUGGACAUCACGGGUCCAGGGAGGGCUCAGAUCCGCCCGUAAUCAGACAAGAUCCGUUUUCGCCAUGGCUGCAACUACAGUUGCAUGUGAAAAAAAAGGGCAUAGAAACCCAUUUCACAGACAAUCCGGGUCGCCCAGCCAAGAGAUGGGUCCUUUCAAAAUGUCUGAUUUACUUGGAAAGUGUCAUCACAGCCACUUAAUUUUCCUGCACAUUUUCUCAGCAACCAAACAGAUACAAGAUCCUUCUCAGAAAACACAUUUUAAAACACAAACAAAAAAACCAAAACAAAACAAAACAAAGACCAGCCUCACCUCAGCGCGGAAGUGAAUAGCGCGUAAAAGGAAGGCUCAGAUUCGCCUUUUAUCAGACAAGAAAAAGAUGACCGUCAUGGCUGCAACCACAGUUGCUUGUGAAACAAGGCACAAAAGGUCCCAUCGCUUAAGCCAUCCGGGUUGCCCCGCCAAGAAACGGACAUUCCCAGGGCCUGACUUACUCUGAAAACGUCAUCACAGCCUUUUAUGUUGCCCAUAUGAACAGAGAGAGAGUGAGCGCUGUUGAUAGCCUCUGAUGUAUAUGUAUAUAUAUAUAUAUAUGUAAAAGAGCGAAGGAAAAGGAGCGUAGUAGAAGGAAUCAUCGGCUCCGACGACCAUGAGAGUGGCAGAGGAAAAUAGGGCCUUUUUAGGGAUUCUCUCGUCUGGAGGGCAACUUCAGAAAAGGGCUUCUUGAUGCCUUAGUGAGAGAAGUGGAUGGCCCUUUCGAUUUUUAGAUUUAGUAGAGAGAGAAAACAAGGUUAACAAAUCAUGAGAACAAUUUUCCUCUCUUUAUAUAAAUAAUUAUUAAUUAUCCAUCUUUAUUUUGAUUAAAUCACUACCGAAAUUUCGAUUUUUAUUUUGAAGGACCCUAAAUACAUCCAACCAAACAAUAAUAAAUAAAUAAAGAUGGACAUCACGGGUCCAGGGAGGGCUCAGAUCCGCCCGUAAUCAGACAAGAUCCAUGUUCGCCAUGGCUGCAACUACAGUUGCAUGUGAAAAAAGGGCAUAGAAACCCAUUUCACAGACAAUCCGGGUCGCCCAGCCAAGGACAGGUCCUUUCAAAAUGUCUGAUUUACUUGGAAAGUGUCAUCACAGCCACUUAAUUUUCCUGCACAUUUUCUCAGCAACCGAACAGAUACAAGAUCCUUCUCAGAAAACACAUUUUAAAACACAAACAAAAAAACCAAAACAAAACAAAGACCAACCUCAGCGCGGAAGUGAAUAGCGCGUAAAAUGAAGGCUCAGAUUCGCCUUUUAUCAGACAAGAAAAAGAUGACCGUCAUGGCUGCAACCACAGUUGCUUGUGAAACAAGGCACAAAAGGUCCCAUCGCACAAACCAUCCGGGUUGCCCUGCCAAGAAACGGACAUUCCCAGUGCCUGACUUACUCUGAAAACGUCAUCACAGCCUUUUAUGUUGCCCAUAUGAACAGAGAGAGAGAGAGAGAGCUGUUGAUUUUCCAGAGAAUCAAGACAGCCUCUGAUAUAUAUGUACACACAUGUGUAUGAAAAGAAAGAAAAGAAAAGAAAGAGCGAAGGAAAAGGGCUGUUGAUGGGCGUCGUAGAAGUAAUCAUCGGCUCCGAAGACCAUGAGAUUCAGAGAGGGGCAACCACCCUUAGAAACUCCCCAUCCCUCCGACACGGUCCCUGGAGCCUCAGUCUUAAACUAAUGAGGUCUAGCCCUAACUUUUACUCAUCCUUUCCCUUUUAUACUACUCCCUGUCUUCUUCUUCUUUGCUUUUAUUUUACUUUUUUGACCUUUCUACCCUCACUAAACCCGGUAUCAAGGAUUGAAAUGUCGAAUUUCGGGAAAUUUCCCGAUAUUUCCUACCAGUCCAGCCCGCGCACAGGAUACAAAAUCUGUCCAUUUUUUAAAAAAAAAACACAAGAUGUUAUUUGGUAAUCUGAUCAUGAUUUGCAGGCAAAGGUUGUGUUUUUCAGCCUGGCUCAAAAAUCGUGGAUUUAGGGUUCGUGAAAUUUAAAUCCAAUGGCACAAAAGCAAAGAGACCCCUAGAACAGAUCCAGAAAACACAGGGAGCAAAAAAAAAAGCAAUUUUUUUGGUUUUCCUUGGGGGUUUUGCGUGGAUUUUCUCGGAAAUCAAACGAGGAUGAAUUUUCCCGGAAAUCGAAUGGGGGAUGGAUUUUCUUGGGAAUCAAACGGGGGUUGCAAAAAAAAAAAUAACAUGAUUAGAUUAGUACCUGCGAGGAUUGAGAGUGGCAGAGGAAAAUAGGGCCUUUUUAGGGAUUCCCUCGUCUGGAGGGCAACUUCAGAACAGGGCUUCUUGAUGCCCCAGUGAGAGGAGUGGAUGGCCCUUUCCAUUUUUAUAUUUAGUAGGGAGAGAAAACAAGGAAACAAAUCAUGAGAACAAUUUUCCUCUCCUAUAUAAAUAAUUAUUAAUUAUCCAUCUUUAUUUCGAUUAAACCACUACCAAAAUUUCGAUUUUUAUCAGUAAUAUUUUAUAAAUUAAAAUUAAUUUAAUAAGAUAAAUUAUUAAUAAUUUUAAUUAUUUAAAUAAAUUAAUGUUAAUAAAAAAUUUAUUACCACAUAUAUAUAAAAUAAAAUCUUAGAAAUUAAAUAUCAAAUAAAGUAUUUAUAUAAAUUAAUUUAAUUUUUCAUAUAAAAUGUAAUAAAAAUUUAUAAAUAAAUAUUGUCUUCAAUAAGAUGAUUCAUUAGAUGAAACCAUAUCAAUCUUCAUUUUGAUACUAAAGACUAUUACAAUAUCAUAUGUAUUAUAUUUAUGUAUAAAUUGUUUUUACUCAAUAAAAUCAAAUAUUUUUUAAUUCAAUUUUAAUUUUAUACAUUUUCAAAAUUCAUAUUUAUUAUUCUUAAAAUUCAAAUAAAUCUACUGAUGUUUUUCUUCUUGAUCAUAUCUAUAUCAAUUAUAUUUAUAAAAUAACUCUAAAAUAUGUAUUUUUACUUAUUUUAUCAUUUUUUUUAUAAUUUUCUAAAUAUUCCUAUAAAUUUUAAAUAAUUUUCGUUCCACCAAUAUUUUCAUUCUAAUCUUGUAUCUAUCGAAAAUAAAUGAAAGACAAUUUUUUACAACAAAAUUUUUUAUGAUUUUUAAAUCAAAAGUUAGUUUUAAAAUCUCAAAUAUUUUUAAUCCACUAUUAUGUUUUUAAAAUUAUAUAAUUAUUUUUUAAAAUAAUAAAAACAAAUAAAAAUAAUUAAGAUUAUGUUUAGUUUGUUAAAAAAAAAUAUUUUAUCAAAUUUGAUUUAAUAGUGAAAAUAAAAAUAAAAUAAUAAUUAAAAUUACUUAAAAACCAAUGUAACUUAAAUUUUUUUUUUUUUUGAUCUUUAGCUUAAAAAAAAAAAAUAAAUAAAAUGAAUUUGAAAAGAUAAUUAAUCUCUCUAAAAGGAAGAGACUCAAAAUUAUCGGAGGAAGAAAAAAAGGGAGUAAGAUUUGAAGGAUAAAAAUAAAGAAGGAACAAGUGGGUGGGUAUUGCAUUAUAUCCAUGAGUUGAUCAAUAACUAGCUCCAUUUCCUUUCCUUUAUUUUCUUGCCAGCCAAACAAAAUCUCAAGCCUGGAACCAUCAUCCCAGCAACCAUUUAUUAAAAGCCAUACACCAAGGAUUCGUAUAACACCAUGGAAUCAACCAUCAUCACCCUCUCAAACCUACAUGCCAAAGCUACACAGACUACUCCCAAGUUCCCAAAUAACCAAGCUUCAUAUCUACUAGCUCCAAAACGGUUAAACAAGAUGAAAGAAGGAAAGGAAGAGAUUACUUGAUGAGAGCCUGGUAAAGGCAGAUCUGCAAAAAUUACAAGCCUUGUCCACAUAGCUUUAUUUAUAGCCCCAUGAAAGCAGAAUUACUUCUUCAUUACCAAAUGUCAGUAUAGGCAAUGCCAGACCUCCAUCUUCCCAUGGCUGCCAAGCCCUUUUAUCAAUAUGUGAAGAUGCAAACCAAAAUGGUUAGCCCAUCAUCCAAAGCUAGCUCCUCCUCCUCCUCCUCCUUAUUUACACCUAACAGUUUCCCUGAUUCACAACAAGUUCAAUUUCCUUGCUUAACAUCUUUCAGAUAGAACAGAACAAUUACGAUUACAAUCACAAAAUGUAACACCACCCCACAUCUUCCUCUGUUUAGCUAAGCAUUACAAGACCUCAAAGUUGAUGUUCCAUCAUCAUAAUAGGCAUGGUGUAUUUCCAGUCUCAAACAAGUUAGGUUCCAUCCUAACACCAUAAUGGUGGGUUGUUUUACAUCAGACAACGAAUCUGAGUCAGUUAACAGGCAAAAAGAAACAUUCAAUAGUUCAAGAAGAUGGCUUAGAAUUUUCUGAAAACCUCAAAACUGUUUUCAUUUAUAAUUACAAACCAACCCAAAAGUUGAACAAUAUGAGGCACUGGGCUGAACAAUCACCUCAGAACUCUGGUAAAAAGAAUGAAGGUUUCUAUAGAUAAAAUGGCCUUUGCAAAUAAAGCAAUGAGAAAAACGGGAUAUAAAUUAAGGAAUAAUAGAAUGAAAAUGUUGAAAGGAAUUUCACAUGGCUUCGAAGAAUGAAUAGAUUCCGUACCCUUGCCGAGAAAUUACAUGGCUGCCUUGCCCCUCUGUUGAAGUACUAUAUCAUGCACAACUUCCCCUGCUGAGUUAACAAAGUAGGUUUCCUGCCAUGGAAAAAGAACAUUUGUUGGUGCUUCAACAAGAACAAAUUUAGUCAAAAAAGACAAAUACUCACAAUCUCUAAGGAGCUGACUCUAUGAAGAAGGAACCCAUUAACCAUUCCCCUGAGGAAACAAAGAAAAAAAUCACACAAACUUCAUAGUUUCAUAUGUAUGAACCAAUGUAGAACACCAUGAAGAACUAUGAACAGAAAUACUCACUUACUAAAACCUGAUAUUCCAUUUACAGAAGCAAGAGGAAGUUUUUCAUCUAUUGAACCUGGGUUCCUGAUGUAAGCUAUACUAUCUUUACGAGCAUAGUCACUACAUCCCUCCCCACUCAGGUACACAUCCUGGUGAGCAAAUGCAUGGAUAAAGCGUUACUUUCUUCAUAGGCACCAGAAAGAUUCCAAAUUUAACAUAUCAGAAAGUUGUUCAUUCAAUUCAUUAGGAACUGUCUUAGAUUUUCAUAUAUAUUGAAAAUUUGGACUUUGAUCAUCUCAAAAGCAAGUUCUCUAAAGAACCCAAAAUCAAAACCUUGGGCAUGGGAUGUCUUCACCCAUUGAUACUCAAUGGGAAGAGCCAUAAAUACUUACCACUCCAAACUUAUAAAAAAUAUGGUGUAGAUGCUCAUAAAGUUGUAUUUCUAUUCAUUCCCUGUUUCCUUCACAAACAGCCAAUGAGCAGAAACCAACAACUAUGCGCCUGGAUCAUAAGGAGGAAAAAAGGAGACAAUUAGUACUUGGGAUGGAUAGUUUCUUUAUUAAGUUAAACAUGGAGUUGAAAUGGUAGGGGUGCUUGGCAAUGGCAACAGGACAGCAAACAAUGAAGGUCCAACAUAGUAACCAGAGAAAACAAAAGGAAAACGAAUGUUUUAACUCCACAACAAUUUGGGUUAAGGCAAAAUUUAAAUGAAAACCAAAAUUUUAUUGUUGAAAGAAAGAAAAUUUGUGAAAUAAAAUUAAGUUGAGAAGUAGAUUAUCACGCAUCAGAACCACUCUGAACUGACAUGAUUUUCAAUUUUUUCAAAAUUUUCCAGACAUUACAACCUUGCUUAUUCCUAGGUUCAUGCAAUUAUAAACAGCCAAUAUGGUGCAAUGUCUAGUGUCUUUGUCAGCCCAUGUAAUUGAUCAUUUCCAGCACCAUUUAACGGAUUCAUAAGCAUAAAAUCCUUCAAGUUUCAAAGAGGAGCCCGAUUAAGAGGAAAGAAGAAUGAAAUGCAGCAUAAAGGAGCAGAAACCAAAAAAAAAAGAAACAAAUGGGGGAUAAAAUGUGUGAUAAAUACAUAUAUGGGAUAUUGAUAGUGUAACUAAAUGAAAUAGAUAUCAAAUCAAUCAUAUACACAUAUAAAUACAACAUAGAAAUAAGCAUGGCCAUGGUGAAAAAGGGCUGCAAUGUGGGUUGUAACCAGAGAAUGGAAUAUGGACAAGGAGCAUAAAAAAUGAUUUGGCAGGCCAAGAAAUGGCUAUUUUAAUAUGAUGAAAAAGAAAGAGAACAAAAGAAAUUCAUUAUGAACAUGACUUGAAGAGUACACCUACGCUCAAAUAAUGACCAAGUGAUCAACUUUAAAAUCACAUUCCUAACCUCAGCCCUACCCCUCAUGGAAAAAUGGAAAAAAAAAAAAUUCUUAAAAGGCCUUGAGAGGGGUAAACCUGCUGGGACUCAAACCUGGAACCACCCCACAUCCCCACCCCCAACCCAAGCUACUCGAGCCACACCUCAAGGGUGAUAAAGAUCUAACCUUCAGCAUUGAAUAAAAAAUAAUCUAAAUGUGCAAAAAAUAUCCAGCAUUUUCUCAUGCAUUUUAAUUGCUUACUAGACUAGAUAGAAUCUCCAGUCAUUGAUGAGAACAAAGAACUCAGUGUCUUUAUUAUUAUUAUUGAAUAAAAAAUAAUCUAAAUGUGCAAAAAUAUCCAUUAUUUUCUCAUGCAUUUUAAUUGCUUGCUAGACUAGAUAGAAUCUCCGGUCAUUGGUAAAAUUCAAUAAUUCCAAUUUCCACCAGUUGAUUUGUCAAGUCCCUAAUUAAAUAAUGAAAGAUACAAUACUUGAUGAGUUAUAUACUAAAAUACUUGUGCUUCCCAAUCUAAUUCUAACAAGAACCCUACAAAAUGCACACCUUAAUCCAACUCAACCAACACUCAAUCUUGCGAUUACCUCAUAGUCCACAAGGUACAUCGGAGAGACCUAACUUAUCUUGAUGUUACAAGAUUUCACAUGAACAUCUGAAUACUGGUUUCCAUAAUUCUUUGUUAUCAUACAUCUCCUGGGGCAUGGUAAAGAUGAAUAUAAAAACAAAAUGAAAUCAAUACAAGAAGUUGAUAGCCCCUCUAUGAUCAUAACUGGGGUCAGCACAAUCAGUAACAUAAGAUUCAUGGUGUAGUAUUGAAGUGUAUCAUAAACUCAACACAAGCAUAUGCAAUGUCAAUUAUCAUUAAGUCAACAAUGAUAUUAAACAUUGGUAUAAACAAAUGAAACAAUGACAACACAACAGGAAAAAACCUUAUACAACUAUUAAUCUAUCCUCUUUGGUAGUCUUUUAUCAUCUUCCACAAAUUUCCCAUUUUCCUCCAUAUGCUGCUCAGAAUCCGACCCCAUUUUUUUUGUAUCUUUGUCAACAUUAAAGGAAAUAAAUGCAUGCAACUUUUAAAGAUUUGAGGCCAUGUGAAAAACUUGUCAUUUGAUGUCAAGUUUUUUUUUAUAUGAAAAGGUUUUCCAAAAUGAGAAUUGCAGAACUAUCAAUCUAUCUUCAUCUAGGUUUGGAGCUUCUCAAGUCUUUUAUCAAUUAUCAUCCUCCAUAAAAUUCCAGUUUUCUUCUGUACAUUGCUCAACCUCCAACAUAAUUUUUAAUUUUUUUUCUAAUUAAGAUUAAAUACAUGCAUAUUUUGAAGAUUAAGCCAUGUGGAGAAUUGUCAAUCAAUCGUAAGUUUUUCCUAUAUCAAAUGCAUUUUUUAAAAUUUUCGGCCUUGUUGGAAAAAAGACCUAAUGAGAUGGGUUUGUAUCACAAAACACUAAGGAUUGACUCAAAAGUCCCAAUGAAAUUAUAGCUACUGUAAAAACCAUGUAACCGCUUCCAAACUUAAACCCAUAUUACAAGAGGAUAGUAGAAGAGGCCUCUCUUCCGACUGACAUAAUAACCAUGAGAAGUAUUAGCCAACAAAUCUUAAAUUGAGCAAAUUCAACAAACCAGUUGAUACCUUAAAUGCCCCAGUAUCCAAACCAAUAAUGUCUAAGGUUUUCCCAAAAGGUAUUUUGAUCUGCUUUAGGAAGUAACCUGUUCCCCGUCCUCUUGAAACUCUGGUACUGUACCUACAAGAAUUACAAUUCAGGAUUACCACACAAAGAGACUAAACCAAAAAGACUGUUACAUUAAAAACUACAUCGGAGUCCAAGUUUUGUAACAAUGAAAUUUCAAAAGAUGAGCUACAAAAAUGACACAACUGAUUGCAAAGCGGAUGGCAUACCAGGGAACUUUCAGUGUUGAAAAACGCCAAGUACCCUGUAAAAGAAGAUGUCAUCUUCUAAGAUUGUUCCUAACAGAUGAAACCAAUGAAAUCUAAUUAAACUCAGCACUAAUUUAUUUUCCAAUCACACACCUAUAAAACAAAACAAAAUAAAACUACAGAAAUAAAUAUGAACCACUAUUCCAUUACUUCAACCAAAGCAUGGUUUCUAUUAUUUCAGUUAAAUUCACAAAAAGUUAGGAGAGAAUCAUUUCUACAACUUACCCAGAGUGAAGCAACGCAUAACUUUGAUUAAAUCUGGCUAAACUACAACUAAAGUUUCCAUAUAAAUGGAGUGUAAGCCUAAAGGUGCCACAAGAGAGUUCAUAUAAAAAAUAGUAAAAGGGCUUCCCACAUUGAAUUUACUAGCCAUGGUCUUACAUUGUGUGAGUUGAUCGUCUUCCCCAAGUUCACUAAUGUUUAUCACAAACCUUGCCUUAUAAGUCUUUGCGGCCUUCUCCAUCUUCAUGGGAAAAAACAAUUCCAAUUAGAACAGGGAAGAUAAAAUAUAAACUCAAAAUGCAAUUAAUGUAGUAGACGAUAAUCAUUCAACUAAGAUCAGUAACAGAGGGGGGAAAUAACAAAGCCUAAAAACAGAGAAGGUGGAAGGCAGAAGUAAGUUGGAUGAAUUAGAACCAAGAAGACAAGACAAGAUCAAAACCAACAGAUGAGAAGGCUGACACAAACAAUUGAGAGAGAUCAAAAACUGAACCAUAUAAUAAAAAACUCACUCACAUGAUUAUUCUCUGGCCAAAAGAUAAAGGUUAUGUUAUUAUUUUUUUAUGUUUAGUUUCAAAGUAGAAAAUAAGCGAUAAAAUCAAAUAUAAUUAAAAUUAUUUAAAUUAUAUAUAUUUUUCAAUUAUUUAGUCUAUACAUAGAACAGAAAAAAUAAAUAAAAUGAAUUUGAAAUAAUAUAAAAAAUAAUUUAUUAAAUUUAAUUUAUUUUUAAAUUUUCUUUAUCGCUUUUUCUUUCUUCCUAUUUUUCUUUUCCAUUUUUUUCCCACAUUUUCUCUUAAAUUUUCCACUAAGCAAACAAAGCCAAAGAUCCUCAAGUUGCAUAUACAAUUAAAAACGGAAAAAGAAAGAUCUUCUACUGUUCAACAACUGUCAUAUUAAAAAAAAUAAUAAAAAUAAAAAUUCGAUCCCAGUAAAACCUAACACAAAAUUCUUUCCUCAAAGUUAAAUCAUUCACAUAGAAAUUAACUGAGAAAGAAAUAAUAAACUGUUUGGUUGCUGAGAAAAUGGAGGCAUAGAAAAGGAAAUCAAAAUUUUGAAACUCUAUUAUUUCCAUUAUUCGAAGGCCCGGAAGAAAGAGGGAAAAAACUUCCACUCUUACCUUAAUUUAGGUUGUUUUGUCAAUUUCGAGGGAGGAAAAAACAGGAAAUUAAUUUCAAGCGAUUUCACUUUCAGCAUUCUCAGUAACCAAACGGAGCGUCUGAUAAAACUAUCAUAUCCACCAACAGAGCCAAAACCAAAUAUACCCACCAUCAACAUCUUAAAACAAAAUCCAUAAAGAACGAGAAAAACCCAUGCUUUUCUUCAAUGAACAAAAGGAAUCAAUAGAGAGGAUGAGAAAUAGACCUGUUUGAGAAGAUGGGUCUGCUGAUUAAGAGGUCUAAAUCCUCCUCUAACACUGAUAAAGUAAAGGUCAAGAGGCCUGCUACUGCCACUGCUGCUCUGGGACAUGGGCUUCUCCCAAGGCCGACCCAAGUUGAAUGCACAAGCAGAGAGACAACUGUGUUAUAACAGUGCGAACCCAUGAAGGUUUCCCCAUUGUUAACACAGGUCUCACAGCCUCAGCUCUUCAACUGGUAAUUGAUUUCACUCAUAGAUCUGAAGAUAUAUGAGGAAUGUAACCGUCGACACCCGUAUCUCUAAUUUCCUCAGUGUUAUCAAUUGCUUGAUUAAGAUAUUCGCUAAUGAAGCUCCACUUGGCAGUUGGCAGGCAGGACCCAUUAUUGAAGGGAAAUGCCUCUACAGUUCGUUUAUAUUAUGGACUCUUUGACUAAAAUCGCUUUGUCAUAUUUGAAACUUUCCUCACAAACAAACGCACCAUCAGCCAUUAAACAUCAUAUUUCAGCAUUCUUUUUUUGCCCUUUUGAUAAUUGUGACACUGUCACACUCCUAUCUCCUAAUUUUCAAAAAUUAUUUUAAAUUUAUAAAUUGAGUUACCACUUCAAAAUAUAAAUUUUUAAAAUAAAAUUAAGUACAUUUAUACUAAAUAUGUGUAUUUGCGUUUAUUACCUUGUAAUAAUAUUUUAUUUAUUUUAUUCUUUAUUAUUAUUGUAAUUUAGAUGAGUUGGUUCGAUCUAAUCUAAUAUUUGAACGAAUUUGGAUAUUUAUUUUUAAUAUUCAGAUUAGACUUUGGUUCAUUUUUUAAAUCUCAUCUUAAUUUGGAUUUGGCUUGAGAGAUACCUCUAAUGAAAAUUAUUAUGGUUCUCUUUAUACAUUCUAUUCUAUUUUUCUUUUAAUAUCUUUGUUUAUUCUCUCGUCUUUUCUUCUUCUUAUUCUUUUAUUUCACAACAUGUUAUCAACACAGUUCUGAAUAUAUAGAAAAAGAGAAGAAUUCAUCUAGAAAAUUUCUUAUAGGUAUGUAGUCUUAUUCUCUUCGAAUGAAAUAUGAAUAGUAUGCAUUGUAUUAUUAUAAUUUUUAUUUACUUUAUCUCAUAGCCAGAAAUUAUGUGAAUCAUAUUUCAUAUAAUUACAUAUUUUAAUUAUUUAAUAACUAGAAGUUAUAUAGAAAAUUUUUCAUAACUAAAAGUUAUGAAAAAAAUAUGUCCAAUCUUUAUAACAAGAUGUUAUGGAGUAAAUUACAAAAAUACAAAUACGUAGUCGGAAACUAUGCAUAAGAUCCCUAAUUACUUUUUUAUUAUAUUAUAUAACUGAAAGUUAUAUAAAAUAACAUUAUAUGGCCAGAAGCUAUAUAAUGAAGAGUUCAUAAUAUGAAGCUAUGUACAAAUCCAAAAUUACAAAUAUACGACCAGAAGCUAUGUAUAUAACUCAUAAUUAUUUGUUUUUAAUUAUAUAGUAUAACUGAAAGUUAUACAAAAUAAUAUUAUAUAGCCAGAAGCUAUAAAAUGAAUAGUUUAUAGCUUGAAAUUAUGCACAAAUCUGCAUAAUGAAUAGCUCAUAGCUUGAAGUUAUGCACAAAUUUAUAUAAAAAAUAGUUCAUUGCCUAAAACUAUGUACAAAUUUAAAUAUUUUCUUGUUAUGACAAAAUAAUCAUAACUUGAAGUUAUGAAAGAUAUUAACUUUUAAUUUCUUUAUUUUCUUUUAAUUAUAUUGUGUAACCGGAAGUUAUACAUAAAUAGUUUAUAGUCUGAAGUUAUGCACAAAUUUACAUAAAAAAAAAAGUUCAUACCCUGAAUCUAUGUAUAAAUUUGCAUAUUUUUUUGUUUUGAUAAAAUAAUUAUAACUCAAAGUUAUGAAAAAAUAUUGGCUUUUAAUUUUUAUUUCAUAUUCACUUAUUUUUCACAAUAGAAAUCAUGGAAAACAAUUUUUAUUAACAAUGGUUUCAUAACCAGAAACUAUGCAAACAAUUUCUAAUUCUCUUGUAUAACCAGAAGUUAUACAAAACAAAAUUGUCAAUGAACAACUAUGUACCUAGAAGAUAUAUAAUUUUUUUUAAAUUUUGUUAUAUAAUCAGAAGUUAUAUCAUAAUAUAAUUGUCAAUUGUUUAAUGUUAUUAUAACAUUAUUUAAAUUUUAAUUAUUCAUAGCCUGAAGCUAUGAAGAUAAAGUUAGUAAAUUAUUAAUUAUUAGAGCUUGUAUAAGAAGUUAUAUGAAUAUAUAUAUAUAUAUAUAUAUAUAUAUAUAUAUAUAUAUAUAUAUAUAUAUAUAUUAUAACCAGAAGUUAUAUAAAUAUUAUUAUUCAUAAACCAAAGUUAUGAAAAUAAGAAAAUUAAUAUUCUUUGUGCUAAUCAAAUGUUAUGUCAAAGUUGCUAAUAUGUACUUUUUUUUAUAGUUAGAAGCUAUAGAGAACAAAAUUGUUAACUAACAAUUUUGUACAACUUUAUGAAAUUUAUAUGACCAAAAGUUAUAAUGAAAUAUAUUAUAGCUUGAAGCUAUGAUAACAAGCAUAUAGAUAAUAUUUACAUAUUAUCAAAAGAUUAAUAUUUUGUAUAUCAAGUUAUACAAAUAGACAAGUGUUUGAUAGUUUUUAUAAAUUUCUAUUAUUAGAAGUAUAUUGUCAUUAGUAGAAAAAUUUAUAUAUAGAUGUGGAAUUUUGAAUUGCAUGAAAGUAUGAUAUUUUUGUAUCAGAGGCGAUGGUUUGGAAUACUUUUUUUAUUCAAGUUAUUUAAUAUACAAUAAUAUUUUGAUUUAGAAAUUUGAGAUUUUUUGGGUACAUGUGAAAUAUAUGACUUGGUCAUAUGAUUAAUAAAUUGAUUUCGCAUGUCUUAUUUGUUUAUAACAUGUUUUUAUGAUUGAAAUUUUUUGAGUUGUAUAAAAUAAUAUAUAUUAUUGUAUGUUGUCACAUAUGAUAUUUUUAUUAAUGCAUUAAUUUCAUUAUUCAAGAAUAUCUUUUCAAAAACAAUAGAUUCAACUAUUAUUUUUAAUAUAUUAUGUUAUAUCUUUACAUACAUAUUUAUAUAGAUUUGUAAUGUUUCAAUUGAAGUUUUGAAAUAACAAGAUGCUUUAAAUCAUGAUAUGUUCUUUUGAAAUUUUGAUUUAUGAAUUAAUUUCUGCACAUUGAUUUAGAACGUAAUAAUAUUUUGAAUAAAAAUUAUUGAUUUAUCACUACAAUUAGUUUGAUUAUUGAAAGACUUCCUAGUUAUUUCAUAUAUAAAUUGCUCCACACUUAUAAAAUCAAAUGUGUGAGAUAUUUAAGAAACAUAUAACUUUAAAUUAUCUUUUUCAUAUUUGUUUUGUUGUGUUAUAUAUGCUUUCAUUGUUUUUACACAACUUAUUAAGGUAAGUCAUCAUCGAUGACUAGUAUUUUUCCAUUUGAUUUUAACUCAUUCUCUAUGAUAAUAUUUCUUCAACUUUGAGGUCUUUAUGACAUGUUUUAUGACUUGUUAUUUUGAUGAAACUCUUAUCUCAUUAAUUGCACAACAUUGAUAACAAACAAUGUUAAUACUAUAUCAGGUGAUAUAAACCUAAUUAAAGGCUCUAGAAUAACUUAUAAUAUGUCACUAGUAGUAUUUGAUUCCAUGUGAAUGACACUUUAUACGAUGAUAGAUCAAGAAGAAUCUUGUAAGACCAACUUGGUCCCCCAUGGUAAAAGGUCGUAUGGAUGUACAUUAUAAAACCAGAAGUUUUUAUUUAGUAACUAGUCUACCUAUACACUUGAAAGAUAGAAUGACACGUUGUGCAGAUUAUCAUUUUAAUUAGACAAUUUUCUUGCCGUUAGGGAUAGAAGAGUCAAUUCCAGAAGAACAGCGUGAAAUUAUUUGGAAUGCAUCGACUUUGACUUAUCUUGAUCCUCGUACUAAUCAAUGUGAAGUGGAAGUUCAAAAGAUUAUUUAUUUGCAAGAACUUGUAAAUCAUUAACUACAUGUUAUCAUUGAUGCAAAGAAAGUGACAAUCAUUUUCGCUUACCUAGAACAUUCCAGUACGAAUUAAUGUCCCUGAAUGACAAUUAAAUAAUGCGUUGAUGUCCCUAAAUGACAAUUAAAUAAUGAGUUGAUGUCCCUGAAAGACAAUUAAAUAAUGAGUCUAAUGCACACUUGAAGCGUGGUAAACCCUGAAAAGGCAAACAAAUUCCUUUAAAAGAAAAACACAAGGAAAGAUAUAUGAAAUGUGACACUCUUGAAGAAGUUGCAUAUAAAAUGAGUUAUUAAAAUGAUUGAUCAAUCUCAAGCAGCCCCUGAAGAGGCACAGUUUAAACAAGUAGCCCUAUGAUAGGUGUAUGUUUAAUAAUUAGUUCCUGAAAAUGUACAAGUACCUGAUAUUGAUGAGAUCUCAAUUAUUUACUUAUAUAUGGAAAAAAAAUGGGAUUGAAAUACUCUUGUCAUUAACAAUAUAUUUUCUUUCCAAAUAGCUGUUGACAUUAUAAGAAAUGAUGAGGAUCCCAAAGUAGAAACUAUGAAUGAAUGUCAACAUAGAAAAUAUUGGCCAAAAUGGAAAGAAUUCAUCCCGAAUAAAUUAUACUCAUUAGAAAAAUGAGAAGUAUUUGGACAUGUAGUCUAAACGCCUGAAGUUGUCAAACUUAUUGGAUAUAAAUGAGUAUUUAUAAGAAAGUGUAAUGAGAAAAAUGAAAUCACAAUAUAUAAAAUGUGACUCAUAGCUCAAGGUUUUCCGCAGAAACCUACUAUUAACUACGAGGAAACAUAUUCUCCUAUGAUGGACGCAACCAUAUUUAGAUAUCUAAUUUGUUUAACAAUCUUAGAAUGACUAGAUUUGCGUUUCAUGGAUGUCAUUAUUGCAUAUUUACGUGAAUCUUUAGAUAAUGACACACACACACACACAUAUAUAUGAAAAUCCCUGAAGGAUUUCAAAUGCCUGAAGCAACAAAUUCAAAACAUUGUAGCAUAUACUCAAUUAAGUUACAAAGAUCCUUGUAUCAAUUAAGCAAUCCAAAAACAUGUGAUACAAUCACUUCAAUGAAUAUUUGAAGCGAGAAAUAUGUAUGUAUUACCUUAUUUAUUUAUACAUAUUCAUUAUAUUGAAUUUUUUCAAUUAUUAUUGUAUAUGUGGAACAUUGAUUUUUUUUGGAACUCCUGAAGAGCUUACAAAAAUAGUUGACUAUUUAAAAAGUAAUUUUUGAAAUGAAAGAUCCUGGAAAACAAUUUUUUUUUCCUCGGCCUGCAGAUCGAGUAUUUUUCAAACGAAAUAUUAGUUUAUUAGUCAACAUAUACAAAGAAAUUCUUGAAGCACUUUUAUAUGGAUAAAUCACAUCCAUUAAGUUCUUUGAUGAUAGUUCAUUCACUUGAAGUGAAAAAUGACUCCUUCUGUCCUAAAGAAGAUAAUAAAGAACUACUUGGUCCAAAAAUACCAUAUUACAGUGUUAUUGGUGCACCGAUGAAUCUUGUAAAUUAUACAUGACCAAAUAUUGCAUUCUUUGUUAAUUUACUUAUGAGAUAUAGUUCUACACCAAUUCAAAGACAUUGGAAUAAAAACAAUCAUGUACUACAAUAACAUGGGUCUAUGUUAUUCCAAAUGAUCAGAAUCUUAAGUGCUUGAAUAUGUAGAUGUUGACUAUCUUUCACACCCCCACAAAGCUCGAUUUUAAAUGAGGUAUGUAUUUAUCUAUGGUGGUACGACAAUAUCGUGGAGAUUAAUCAUGCAAAUAAUGGAAACAUGUGGACUACCCUCCAUCAAAGGUAAUGCUACCAAGUUAAUAAUGUUGCAUGCAUUGCACAUAUUAAAGAAUGAUACAUUAAGGGUGAUAGAAUUAAGUAUAUAUCGUCCAAGUCUUUUACUUUCAUUAACUCAAAAAGAGUGAUGAAAUUGCUAUUCGACGACAAUUUAGUAGAUCUAUUCACAAAGGCAUUGCCAAUUGUAAUACUCAAGAAGCUCAUUGGAAUACAGCGACUCAAAGAUCUCCAUGUUGUGCUACUAGAGAAAAUAUAAUCAUGUCAACAUGAGGGGGAGCUAAUUGAUAAGAAUAUCACUACGCUACACUCUUUUUUCCUUCAUCCAAGUUUUGUCCCAUUGGAUUUUACUGGCAAGGUUUUUAAUGAGACAGUUGUGGUAAUCCAAAAAAAUAUUGUACUCUUUUUCUUUCACUAGGGUUUUUCCCAUAGGGUUUUUCCUAGUAAGGUUUUAAUGAGACAUUCUUAUGAUCAUCCAAGGAGGAGUAUUAUAAAAUAUGAGAUUUUGUAUCACUAUGGUAACUUGUGGAUGAUCAUUCAUAUUAAUGUACAUCUCUUUGUAACUCCCUAUAAAAAGGAGAUACCUCUAAUGAGAAUUAAUCCGGUUCUCUUCCUAUAUUUUGUUAUACUUUUCUUUGAAUAUCUUUGUUUAUUCUCUCGUUUUUUUUUUCUCAUUCUUUUAUUUCACAACAUAUAUAUAUUGUUAGGAAUUUGAGGCUAAUCCAACUUAUGGUAAUCACCCUAGAGGGGGGGGGGGGGUGAAUAGGGUGAUGGUCUCUUUUCGCAAAUUUAAACAAGUGAAUGUAAGAGACAAUUAUAUACAAAUAUCAAUAUAUAUAUAUAUAUAUAUAUAUAUAUAUAUAUUGUUAGGAAUUUGAGGCUAAUCUAACUUAUGGUAAUCACCCUAGAGGGGGGGGGGGGGUGAAUAGGGUGAUGAUCUCUUUUUGCAAAUUUAAACAAGUGAAUGCAAGAAACAAUUAUAUGCAAGUAUCAAUAUAUAGACAAUUGCAUAUAAAUUAAAGAGUAGGGAAGAGAGAAUGCAAAUACAAGAGUUUAUAGUGGUUCGGCGCAACCCGACCUACAUCCACUCUCCUCUAAUUUCAAUCCUGAGCUUGAGGUUCCAUUAAUCCAAGACUUCCAAACCAAGCCUUCAAGCAAUACAAUUGGAUUAUGGUUCCAAUUCACCCUCUUGGACUUUUGGCUCCAAGCACCCUUUACACUUCUCAAGAGAUAUCCCACUCUUGAACAACCCUUCAAGUGAUACCCCACACUUGAGAAACUUCCUCUCAAAGAUUUACAAAUGAAUGAUCUCUCAAAAAUCCUAGCACAAAAACUUUAAGCUCAAAUGAUACAAGAAAAACUAUGAUUGAAUGGUGCACUAAAGACAUGCAAGUUUUGAAAUAAUGGUGCACUAAAAAAUACUCUUCCAAGGCUCAAAUAUAAUCAAGAAAGAUUUGGGAAGAUUAAGCUCUCGAAACAAUGAAUAUUGGAGCCUUUUUAUAGAAGAAAAAAACCAAACUAGCCGUUGGGGGUUCGUCCGGUUGAGCUAGGGGUUGAUUGGUUGACUAGCCGUUAGCAUUUAAUGAUUGGUAGGUGACUGUUGGGCCUCAAUCGGACCUCGACCGGACCUCAACCGGUUGAUGUUCAACCUUGACCAGGAAGAGAAGGCCACUAGGAGAGAGAGAAACUUUUUAGCCUCCUUCAACCGGUCCUCGACUGAACGAGCACAACCGGUGAAUCGGUUGAACCGGUUGAAUCAUUUUUUGGCUCAAUACCCAACCUUUUUCAACUUAAAACCUUUUAACACAAGUUUGAAAAUCAUUUAACACAAGGUUUUAGUUAAAAAUAUGAAAUCAUCCAAUUCUUAAAAUUUUUAAAACAAUAUUACUUUUGGAUGAUUUUGAUGCAAAAAUAAAGAAUGAAAUGCAUGAAAGUCCUAGUGCACCAACAACCUUACAAAGAGAUCUUAUGAAGCUUUGGUCUUAAAAAAAUUUUCUCUUUGAGGUGAUCUUCUUCUUCAUGAUUUCUCCUUGGCUUGAUUUGUCUUUAUGAUUGCCACUUUGGAAAUCAUUUUGCCUAAUCACACUUGAAAUAUGACCAUUAGUUUUAAACCUUGUUUUGUUAUCAUCAAAAUCAAGAUUAACCAAACUUUGGUUUCACACACACACACACACACACACACACAUAUAUAUAUAUAUAUAUAUCAAACUAUAAUUAUAUAAUUUUUUUAAAUGUAUAAAUCCAUUUUAUUUUUUUAUUAUCUUAAAAUUUUUAUUUUUAAAUAUAGAAAUGUAUUUUUGUUAAAAAAUUAUAUUUCAUAUUUUUGUUCCAUUAUUACUUUUAUUCCUUCUUUUUUGUUUGAUUUUUGCAUGUUAUGUUGUCCAUUUUUCAUUUUUAUUUCUUUCAUUUUUUUUAUUUGGAAAAAAAUAAAUAAAAUAUAAUUAAUAGUGACAAAUGAAAAUAAAAAAAGAAAUGUUGAAAAAUAAAAAUAAAAUUGGUCAUUUUCGUGCAUUUUAUUUUAUUUGUGUGUUUUGAUUAUUCUCCUUUUUAAACAAUUGCAUAAAAGAAAAAAAAAUGAAAAUGAUUGUAGGUGAUUUUCUUGAGGAAAGUAUUCGAAAGUUGAUGUAUAAUGUCAAAGAAGAGUCUUCGUUGUAGGUGGGACGAGAGAGAAAGCUACUUUGAAUUUUGAAACUUUACCAUCUAAAAUCAAAACAAAAUCAAGUGCAAUUUAUGCAAUUUUGUAGGAAAUUAUUAUUAUUAUUAUAAUGGUAUAACAAGUUUAAUAUAAAAAAUAAAAAAAUUGUAGUAUAAAAAUAUUAUAAUAAAAUAAAUAAAUUUAUUUUUAAAAAUAUGAAAAUUAAUAUAAAAAUAUUAGGGAAAAAUUAUGUGUACACAUAAAAAAAUAAAAAAUAAAAAUUGAUGGAUUAAAUUACUAUUGAAAUUAUAAUCCGACUUAAAGUCAAAUUAGAAGAAUUUUAUGAAAUGUCAUAUCAAAACUAAAAUACUAAAAAAUGUGCAGAAUCAAAAGAAAAUUAUAAUUUUGUUCGUGAAAUUAUGACUAUAAACAAUAACUCAAUUCAUUUUCAACUCCAGUAAAAAAUUUGAUAAGUUGUGUAUAUGCAUGUCUUGUUUAAAUCUCAAUAUCUAUAAGAUCUAGUGAAUAAUAGUGUGGACUCCGCAUUUUGCACGAUGUGUUCUCACUCAAUAGCGUGACUUGCUUUUCGUUUAUUUGUGAAAAAUUAUGAUUUUUAGAAAAUACUUGGAGUCGCCACUUAUUUUUGUUUUAUUUUUUUAAGGGAAAACAAAGUAAGAAAAAAACUCUAAGUGUGACUCUUUAUUUAGAAAAAACGGUUUGUGAAAAACCAAACCUGGGUUUGGGGGGUUAGGUUACUUAUUGAGAAGGUAGGGUAAAGACCGUAGCACCCCUCUAAACCCCUAAAAAUGGGUCUCUACUAAAUAAGGUGAGUCAAACCUGACAAUUAACUAGGAGAUCAAUGGAUACUAAAAUGAUCAUAGGUCAAAAGCAAGUCAUGAUAAUGAAUAAAUAAAAAAAGUGAGAGUGAGAACGUACCUUGACAGUAGGUAAUAAAGCGUUAUCAUGGAAACAAGGUUAGCUUAAGUAUAAAUUUAUUACACGCAUAUCAAAGAUCAAGACAAAAAUCAAGCAAUAUUCGUUAAGCAUAACAUUUGACAAUCAGAAGAGAAAACUCAUAUGUGGGACCCCCACCAAAGCCCAAUUUAUCUUGCACGAAUUAGUCUCACAAAUUUCAUUAUUUUGGAAUUAUGAAAAAUUCAUUUUUGCUUAUUUAAAAUAAAGAUAAACAAAAAAUUAUUUGAUAAUUGAAGAAAAUUUGUACAUGUGCAUACCAAAAUGAGAAUGGUAGCAGACUCAUUAAAAUCAGGAUUUUUGGCAACCUAAAACCCUAAUAAAUGAUGAAAAGUUGUAGAAAUUAAAAAAUAUUUGAAAAUUGGAGUGGAAUUAAAAUUGUUCAAGAGAAAACUAGAGUUUUGAAAAUUGAAGUCUAAAAAAUUAUUUGAGAAUUGGAGUUUUGAAAAUUAAAUUUAAGAAUUUAAAUUUUUAGAAAUUAAAUUUGAAAGAAAUUUGAAAUUUGAAAAUUAUUUGAGAAUUGGAGUUUUCAAAAAUUAAAUUUAAGAAUUGGAAUUUUGGAAAUUAAAUUUUGAAAGAAAUUGGAAUUUUGAAAAUUAUUUGAGAAUUGGAGUUUUGAAAAUUAAAUUUAGGAAUUGGAGUUUUGGAAAUUAAAUUUGAAAGAAAUUGGAGUUUUAAAAAUUAAUUGAGAAUUGAAGUUUUGAAAAUUAGUUUUAAGAAUUGGAAUUUUGGAAAUUAAAUUUGAAAGAAAUUGGAAUUUUGAAAAUUAUUUGAAAAUUGAAGUUUUGAAAAUUAAAUUUAAGAAUUUGAAUUAAAUUUGAAAGAAAUUGGAAUUUUGAAAAUUAUUUGAGAAUUGAAGUUUUGAAAAUUAAAUUUAGGAAUUGGAGUUUUCGAAAUUAAAUUUGAAAGAAACUGGAGUUUUGAAAAUUAAUCGAGAAUUGGAGUUUUGAAAAUUAGUUUUAAGAAUUGGAAUUUUGAAAAAUUAUUUGAAAACAAAAGUUUUGAAAAUCAGAAUUUCGAAAAAUUAUUUGAGAAUGGAAUUUUUAAAAGAUCAAUUUUUUAACAUAAAAAGAUGGAUUAGGAGGGUGACACGUCAAACAUUGGAUAGCAGCCCUCUAGAGUGGAAUCCCAAGGUUCUCCUCAAAAAAUACCUCAAUGCCUAAAUGGCUAAGCAUCUGUCUAAAAAAAAAAAGUAGCAAUAGUAGGUUUUCCAUUUGUUCCAGUCACUACUAAUAUCUUAAUACUUCUUGGAAGAAUUUCUGCAGCAAAAUCCAACUCAGACAGUAUUCUCUUCCCUGAUUGCAACAAGAAGGAAAGUCCAUGACUUUCCAAGGGAACUCUUAGUGAAACAACUACCAUUUCGGCAUCCUUGAGAAGCUUUGUGUCAAAAUGUCCAAGAACGAUUUUCAAAUGACCAUGCUUUUCAAACAGGAGAUCGAGCUCUAGCGAGAGCAAGCUUUGUUGCAGCUCUACCAGAUUUUCCCAACAAGAAAACAGGAAGCUCUCAACCAAACCCAAAUUCACGAAAGAGAAUCAAACCAUAUGGGAAACAUCCGGAUCGGCGCGGUAGCUACAGUCUUGUAACAAAUCUCACUUGGGGUCUAGAGAUUCAUGCUACCUCAAGCUUUUUCUUAUCAGCCUCAUCAUCCCAUGGUUUCACAUCCUAGUGUACAAUCGCAUACCCAAGAAUGCACAAACACAAGGAGUAGGGAGAAAACAACAAAAACAUAGCACAAAUGAAGAAAAUAAUAUGAACCAUCAAAAGCCACACUUCAUGUCUUAGUCAGUGGACUUAAAGAUAGGUGGAUUAAAAGGAUUUCUAAAUGUCACAAAAGAGAUAAAAAUUAGUUGGACCAAUUUUUGAACACAAAUUGGAGGAACAAAGGAGCCAUUAACUAUGAAAAAAAAAAUAAAGAUUGGUCGUAUUGGAGAAAGACAACAUUUGGUAUUGCAGAAGAGAGACAACAUUGUGUCACAUGAUGCAUGCACAAAUGACCCUUCCCAUGGGCUUAUAUUGGAGGUGGGAAGCUUCUGAAAACUCCUUAAGCCAUCUAUACUAAGCUAUUGGUGGGAAGAGUGUGGAAGCUUCUUAAAAAGCCUAGGGAUGUCCACAUAUCUCUACAUUAUGGUGGAAGGCAUGAGAAAAGUCUAAGACUUUCUAGAGAGCUCUAGAGGUCUCUUGUAUAUUCUUGUAUGUAAGCUUGUACAUAGAAUUAUAUAGGGUGUUCUAGAAUAUCCAUGAGUUGUAAGGAACCCUCUAAGGUUCUAGAGAGUUCCAUUGGUGUUUAUAAAUAAGUGAGGGUCUCAUUUGGCCAAGGCACCAAGCAAGUGAGUUUCCAAGCAUUAUAUAGCUUUCUUUGAAAGCAGUAAAACUUCUAUUAUUUAAGUGUUGCCUACUACGCCCUCUAAAGUUUUUAAGUUGGGUGCGUCUUAGCGUAGCAAGCUAAGUAUUAGGAGUAAUGUUAACUUAUCAAGAUCAAGGGUCUUGACUUGUCUAAGUGUCGCACAAGCUUAGGAAAAGACUAAGUUUAUGACAGUUGGCAAUAGGUUGUGGAUAAGUGGUGGUGGUGAUGUGGAGAAAGUGAAGGAAACAUAGAAAAAUAAAGACGGGAAAGGAAAAGAGAGAGAAAAAAAGACUACUAGGUAGGGGAAGCUAUGAGCGGUGGCCAACGACGACACUAAUGGAUAAUGUCGUCAAUAGUGGCGGUAGAUUCGAUGGAAGCGGUAGAUUCGGUGGGAAGUGAGAGGUGACGGGGAAUUGAACUUUGGUUCUCCUCCCAUUGCAAUCACCAUCAUUCUCAUUUUCCGCUUAGGAUCAAUGUGCCCCCUCUAAACAACAUUGACAACCCCGUCAUCUUUUUCAUUUCUAGUGUUGUUUUCUAUAAUUGGAACUAGGUUUUCAAAAACAUCAACUAUCUUUGGAGGAGUAGUACUAGUAUUGUGAAUGAUUGAAACUGUGAUUUCAAAAUUAGGUUGGGUUCCAACAUAGAGGUAAUAGAGGUUGUUAAGCCUUUAGGAAGACAUGCACAAGUGAACAAUGUUCUUAGAGAUUAUAAUGGUGGAAGAAGGCCAUAAGAAGACAAGAAAAGAAAAGGGAAAAGAGAAAAGGACUCUCUUUCACGCCACCUACCCAUUUUCAGUGUUGACACCUUUCUCCCAUUGGCAUCAUCCUCUCCAAUCGUCACCUACCAAUCAUCACCACAUCUCUUACUUUCAUGACAAUUUUUUUUAAGAUAAUUUUGGAACAAAUUCAAAAACAUUGUUAGAGUGCAUGCAUUAUUAAAUUUUUUUCUCCACUUUAUACUUAAAAUGAAAAGAUAAAAGCAAAAUUCCAUAAACCUUAUAGCUCGUUUAACCAUAUAACUUAAAAACAAUUUUUUUAACACUUUCAAUUGUGGUUGUUCAUUAUUCUCAAAAAAAAAUAAAAAAUAAAAUAAAACUAGAUUGAAAAAAAAAUCAGGAAACAACCUCAUUGAUUUAAAUUAUUAUUUAAUUACUCCCAUAAUCGUAUGAUUAUUCUUAUGUUUUUGUUAUGUUAUAUUAACAAGUGAAUACUAUGUUGUUAAUUCUGGAUAUCCUUGUACUAUAGGUUUUCUUCCUCCAUAUUGAGGUAAAAGGUAUUAUUUGUAAGAUUAUCCUAGCAGAAGUUGUUAAUCGAAGACUAAUAAAGAAUUGUUCAAUUAUAGGCAUUCUCGUUUAUAAAUAUAAUUGAGUAUUGUUUUGUGUGUUAAAAGCACAUUUUUCAGUUUUAAAAAUGAUGUCAUCUUACAAACCAAGUAGACAACUAUAAAUAGUUGUAGCUUGUUGUACUCUUUAUAAUUUCAUUCAUAAAUAGACUUAAAAUGAUGUUAUGUUUAGACAAUGGGAAGAAGAACUUGAAUUUGAAGAUAAGGACGAUACUACAAUUGAAGUAAGUUAUGCAAUGACUUUAUCAGAUGAAACAACAACGACUAUGAUAGCUUAUCGAGAUCGUAUUUCAUAGUAGAAAUGGAAUGCUUAUGUUAAUAGUUUGUAAACAUUAGUCAUUAAAUAGUUAUAUUAAUAUACGAAGUAAGGAUGUGAAAUAUGAAAAUUGUUUAACUAUUAUAAUUGACUUGAAGUAUUUUGUGUGUACUUGGUUUGCAAUUGUUUUUGUUUCAAUUUAUUUUAUUUUAUUUGUUUUUCCUAUUAAAAAAAUCAAUCCAACUAUUUAUUUUACUCUCAUUAAAAAAUGACUAUUAAAAUUAUUUUUAAUCUUAUAGUAAUUUUUGUUUUAUUUGAAUAAAAAAAAUUGUUUAAUAAUUAAAACAAUUAUUUAUCUAUAAUUUAUAUAUAAUUUGAAUUUUAUUUAUUUAUUUUUAGUGAGAUUUAACUUGAAUGUGAUUUAUAUUAAUGUAAAUUAAAUUUUAAAAAUAAAAAUAGAAAAAUUGUUUUUAAAACCAAAGUCGAUUCUUUUAUACAAACAAGUUUUUGUUUUUUAUCUUUAAAAAUUAUUUUUGAAAACAAUUGGCCAAACAAUUUUUCUUUUUAAAAAAUACUAAAAAUGCCAUUUUUUAUUCUUUAUCUUAAAAAUAAUUUUUUAAAUUAAAAAACACAAUCAAACACCUUAUUUUGUUUUUAUUUUUGGUGUCUGGUUGCAUAAUUUUCCCAUUUUUUAAAACUGAAUUUCAAGCAAGCUCUUAAUUAUGUAAUUAAAAACUUGUUUGGUAGUAAUUUUAAGAAGCGAUUAUAAUAUUCCUAACACUUAAAAAAAAAAUUAUUUUUCAAGUAUACAACGUAGAAAUACUUGUGAGGAUCACUGCUACACAUGCUCUAUGUAGACAUAUCCCACUUCUAAGUUCUAACUCUUCAACGUCUGAACUCUUUUGAUGAAAUCCACACUCAAACCACCCAAAUCCAAGUCCCAAAUGCAGCCACUGCUUCAUCCAGGUCUGCUUCAUUCUCAUUUCAUCACUUCCUUUUUCUAUUAAUUAUUUUAUGAUUGUCCUUUUUGUUUCUUUUGUAUGAAUCCUAAGUGUCUUAUUGUUUUCCAUGGGCAGAAAAUACUUCCAUGAGAAAUUCUUCCCCAGAAAAUUUCCCCAACCUUGUCUGGUAAUAUACCCAUGUUUUUUUCCUAAUCUUUUGCGUCAAGCUUGGAAACUUCUGCUUCUGUCUUGUGCCCCUUAUGAUGGGUUUUGGAGUCAAAAUAAGAGACGUAAUGAUGAAUUCCAGAUAAUCCAUAUCUUAAAGUGAGAAAAUAUUCAAAAAAGAAUUUGUUGUGUUGAGAGGGAUUGCUUGAGAAGUUCAGGAUUAGGGAAUUAUUUUAUCUCAGUAUGGUUUAGAAUUCCAGUUUGGCAAAUUCAGGAUUCAGGACUGGCUUUGGGCUCAAAAUGAUUUGGGGUUUCUACUCAGAAACAUCCAAAAUUGAACUAUUUGACAAAUUUGGGGUGUGGGAGCUGUUCCUUUGUGGGAUAUUUGUGAAUGAUUAUGGAAUUGCUGAACUGUAUUACAUAAAUUCAAAUUUUAUUUGCUUGAUGGGGAAUUGGCCUGGGAAAAGAUAGCUGAUCACAUUAUCCCACCUUUGAUAUCAGCUGUUGCUUUGAUUCUCAAACUUUUAAAUGGAGAAAUGACUGUUGUAGAGAAGAAUAAAGGGAUAAGGUUUUGUUUGGUGGACUUGUUUUCCAUGUUUCUUCUCCUCUAAAGGUUAGGGGUGAAAGCAACUUAUAGUUGAUGGUUGUCUUCAGAAAUAAGCUGAUCAUAUCAUAGCUGACCGAUUUCUUCUUUGGCCAUCUUGAAGCAAUUUUAGUAUUUAUUUUAUAAGCUGAUUUUGGUGUCCAAGAAAUUAUUCUUAACAUAAUUAUUUUUUUUUUAAAAUAUCAAUUAUAUUUGAUUGGUAUUAUCAAUUAUGCUUUGCGGACCAAGCAUGACUCAUCUUAUUUGGGCCUCCCACUACUUUAAUCCUACACAGAUGACACAUUUUUAUUAAGAUCCAGAUCCUAUUAUCAUGGACUGGGCAAUGGAGGCUCAGAUCCGGCCGUAAUCAGACAAGCUGCUGGGCCGCCAUGGCUGCAACUACGGUUGCCUGUAAAAUGAAACCCAUUUCACAGAUCAUCCGGGUUGCCCCACCAAGAAACGAGCCCUUCAUAAUCUCUGAUUUACUUGAAAAGUAUCAUCAUAUCCCCUCGAUUUUCUCAUUGGGAACCAAACAGAUCGAGGACCCUUUGAAGGACCCUAAAUACAUCCAACCAAACAAUCAUAAAUAAAUAAAUAAAGAUGGACAUCACGGGUCCAGGGAGGGCUCAGAUCCGCCUGUAAUCAGACAAGAUCCAUGUUCGCCAUGGCUGCAACUACAGUUGCAUGUGAAAAAAAGGGCAUAGAAACCCAUUUCACACAGUCCGGGUCGCCCUUGGAAAGUGUCAUCACAGCCACUUAAUUUUCCUGCACAUUUUCUCAGCAACCAAAUAGAUACAGAUCCUUCUCAGAAAACACAUUUUAAAACACAAACAAAUAAACCAAAACAAAACAAAGACCAGACUCAGCGCGGAAGUGCAUAGCGCGUAAAAGGAAGGCUCAGAUUCGCCUUUUAUCAGACAAGAAAAAGAUGACCGUCCUGGCUGCAACCACAGUUGCUUGUGAAACAAGGCACAAAAGGUCGCCCAAACCAUCCGGGUUGCCCCGCCAAGAAACGGACAUUCCCAGUGCCUGACUUACUCUGAAAACGUCAUCACAGCCUUUUAUGUUGCCCAUAUGAACAGAGAGAGAGCGCUGUUGAUUUUCCAGAGAAUCAAGACAGCCUCUGAUGUACAUGUACACACGUGUAUGAGAAGCCCUUUUCUGAAGUUCCCAAUAUUUCCUACCAGUCCAGCCCGCGCACAGGAUACAAAUUUUUUUUAAAACAUAUGAUGUUAUUUGGUAAUCUGAUCAUGAUUUGCAGGCAAAGGUCGUGUUUUCCAGCCUGGCUCAAAAAUCGUGGAUUUAGGGUUCGUGAAAUUUAAAUCCAAUAGCACAAAAGCAAAGAGACCCCUAGAACAGAUCCAGAAAACACAGGGAGCAAAGAAAAAAACAAUUUUUUUGGUUUUCGUGGGGGGUUUUGCAUGGAUUUUCUCGGAAAUCAAACGAGGAUGAAUUUUCCCGGAAAUCGAAAGGGGGAUGGAUUUUCUUGAGAAUCAAACGGGGGUUGCAAAAAAAUAAUAAUAAUAACAUGAUUAGAUUAGUACCUGCGAGGAUUGAGAGUGGCAGAGGAAAAUAGGGCCUUUUUAGGGAUUCUCUCGUCCGGAGGGCAACUUCAGAAAAGGACUUCUUGAUGCCCGAGUGAGAGAAGUGGAUGGCCCUUUCGAUUUUUAUAUUUAGUAGAGAGAGAAAACAAGGGAAACAAAUCAUGAGAACAAUUUCGCCAUGGCUGCAACUACAGUUGCACGUGAAAAAAGGGCAUAGAAACCCAUUUCACAGACAAUCCGGGUCGCCCAGCCAAGACAUGGGUCCUUUCAAAUAUCUGAUUUACUUGGAAAGUGUCAUCACAGCCACUUAAAUUUCCUGCACAUUUUCUCAGCAACCAAACAGAUACAAUAUCCUUCUCAGAAAACACAUUUUAAAACACAAACAAAAAAACCAAAACAAAACAAAGACCAGACUCAGCACGGAAGUGAAUAGCGCGUAAAAGGAAGGCUCAGAUUCGCCUUUUAUCAGACAAGAAAAGGAUGACCGUCAUGGCUGCAACCACAGUUGCUUGUGAAACAAGGCACAAAAGGUCCCAUCGCACAAACCAUCCGGGUUGCCCCGCCAAGAAACGGACAUUCCCAGUGCCUGACUUACUCUGAAAACGUCAUCACAGCCUUUUAUGUUGCCCACAUGAAGAGAGAGAGAGCGCUGUUGAUUUUCCAGAGAAUCAAGACAGCCUCUGAUAUAUAUGUAUAUAUAUAUAUAUAUACACACAUGUGUAUGAAAAGAAAGAAAAGAAAGAGCGAAGGAAAAGGGCAGUUGAUGGGCGUAGUAGAAGGAAUCAUCGGCUCCGACGACCAUGAGAUUCAGAGAGGGGCAACCACCCUUAGAAACUCCCCAUCCCUCCGAGACAGUCACAGGAGCCUCAGUCUUAAACUAAUGAGGUUGAGCCCUAACUUUUACUCAUCCUUCCCCUUUUAUAGUACUCCCUGUCUUCUUCUUUGCUUUUAUUUUAUUUUUUUGACCUUUCUACCCUCACUAAUCCCUGUGUCGAAUUUGGGGGAAAUUUCCCGAUAUUUCCUACCAGUCCAGCCCGCGCACAGGAUACAAAAUCUGUGCAAUUUUUUUUAAAAAAAACAUAAGAUGUUAUUUGGUAAUCUGAUCAUGAUUUGCAGGCAAAGGUUGUGGUUUUCAGCCUGGCUCAAAAAUCGUGGAUUUAGGGUUCGUGAAAUUUAAAUCCAAUGGCACAAAAGCAAAGAGACCCCUAGAACAGAUCCAGAAAACACAGGGAGCAAAAAAAAUAAAGCAAUUUUUUUGGUUUUCCUUUGGUGGUUUUGCGUGGAUUUUCUCGGAAAUCAAACGAGGAUGAAUUUUCCCGGAAAUCGAAUGGGGGAUGGAUUUUCUUGGGAAUCAAACGGGGGUUGCAAAAAAAAAUAAUGUACCUGCGAGGAAAAUAGGGCCUUUUUAGGGAUUCUGGAGGACAACUUCAGAAAAGCGGAUGUUCGAUUUUUAUAUUUAGUAGAGAGAGAAAACAAGGGAAACAAAUCAUGAGAACAAUUUUCCUCUCUCCGUAUAAAUAAUUAUUAAUUAUCCAUCUUUAUUUUGAUUAAAUCACUACCAAAAUUUCGAUUUUUAUCGGUAAUAUUUUAUAAAUUAAAAUUAAUUUAAUAAGAUAAAUUAUUAAUAAUUUUAAUGAUUUAAAUAAAUUAAUAUUAAUAAAAAAAGUUAUUACCACAUAUUUUUAAUAAAAUCUUAGAAAUUAAAUAUCAAAUAAAAUAUUUUAUAUAAAUUAAUUUAAUUUUUCAUUUAAAAUGUAAUAAAACAUAUUUUAAUAAAAAUAUUUUAAAAAAAUAUUGUCAUGGACUCAAUUCUUCUAAUAAUAUGAUGAAACCACAUCGAUCUUUAUUUUGAUACUAAAGACUAUUGCAAUGUCAUAUGCAUUUGUAAACCUCAAAAUUUGUCUUAUUUUUAUUUUACAUUAAUUUUGAGCUCAAUUUUGUUCUUAGAUUUUAAAACCCGAUUACAUUUUAUUUUAUUGGCUCAUUUAUACAUUUUAAGUCUUAAUUCUUAUUAUUUCGUUUAUUUUAUCUUAUUUUUCCUUUCUUUUUAUUUUAUUUUAUUUUUUUCUCUUUCCUUAUUUUCCCUCAUUCUCCUCCCAAUUCCCACUUUCUCUCUUCUCUCUCCUAUCUCCUAUACUAAGGAUGAAAAUAUCGGUAAUCACGAAUAUAUCGGUACUUCGAUUUUACGGAUAUAUCGUAUCGGCGGAUAUUUUGGAAAAAAAUAUCGGUAACCUUAAAAUUGUUAAAAACUUAUGAAAAUAUAAGAAAAACCUCAUAAUAAUAUAAUUAAAAGUAUAAUAGACAUUUUAAAGUUAUUUUAUUGAAAAUUUUUAUAUAUGUAUAACAUAAUUUAUCAUAUUUGAUAAUAAUAUCGUAUGCAUCGAUAAAAAUAUGAAUUUUAUAAGUGUACAUUUAUUAUUAAAUUACAUAUAAUAUUAUGAUAUUUGAUUAUAAUAUGUCUAAUUUUAAAAUAUAUAUUAAUAUUAAAAUAUGAUCCAUUUAAUUCAAUUGUAUUAAACAAUAUAAAAUAAAUUAUGAUAUAUAUAUAUAAAUUUUUAAUAUUUAAUUAAUUAUUAAUGAUAUUAAAAACAUUAUGAAGAAAAUUAUAUAAUUUUUAUACUUUUUGAUAAUUAAUUAAAAGAAAAUUUUGUAUUUAAUUAUAAAAUAAUUAUAAUUAAUUUGCUAUUUAAAAUAUUCUUUUAACAUUUUCUUUAUAUAAUGACUUUAAGUAUAUAUAUGUUUGGUGCACUUUAUAUUACAAGGGCAAGUUAGCCGCAAAUGGAGUGAACCAAAAGGUUUGGGGUUCAGAUCCCCUCAGAAGCAAUUUCAAGCAAAUAUCGUUGGAUCGUGUCGAUACCCUUCGAUACACAUAUAUCGUCGAAAUAUCGCGACAUUUUCCUCCUUGCCUAUACCUACCUCCAUACCCUUUGCCAUACCCCCACGUUCAAGACCCAUACUCUGGCUCUUGAUUGAUAUUAAUUUUUUAUUUUUUUUUCCCAGGCCGGACUGCAUUUGUUGGGCCCUUUCUCCAUUUUUAUUUUUUCUUUUUUUUGGGGGAAAAAGGCAACUCCCCCCAACUCUCACAAGGUUCCCGACUGUUUCUUCUUUGGGCUCAUCAAUGGCGGGAGAAGAGCGAUUGAGCUUAAGUUUAGACUUGCUGAUGGCACCGACAUCGGUCCAAACAAGUAUAAUCCAACUACCUCUGUGGGAUCUCUCAAAGAAAAGAUACUUACACAAUGGCCUAAAGGUUGCAAAUCCUUUUUACCCUUUUAAUCCCCUGCUUCAUGGAUCUUGAUAUGUUGGCUUCUUUUAGAUUAUUGUCCUAUUUGUUUCCUUCUAUGCAUGUUUUCCAUGAUUUUCUUUUAUUGAUUUGGCUCAACAUUUACACCUCCGUAUUUAAAGAAUCAUGCCUUCUCUUUUUUAGAUUGUGUGUUAGAUGGGUUUUCUUGAGAAUUUUUUUUUUCUUCUUCUAUGAGAAUGUUUGUUUCAACAGAAAAAUACUUUGUGGAUAUAUUUUCUGGAAAAAAAAAAAACAGAGAAUAAGAUUCAUAAAUUAAGGCUUUAUUUUUUAUUAUACUGAGCAUCAUGGAGCUAGGGUGUAGACCCCCUCCCGGGGAGGAGGAGUUUUAGGCCAUUUUAUUUUUUGCUAUCAUAAUGACUUUUUUGACCACCCCGGGAUUUCAGCUGAAGGAGGUGGCCAGAUUAGAUGGGAAAAAACAGAAGAGGAGAGAAAGAGGAAAAGGAGGGCUUGCUGAGGAAGACAAAAACAGGGGAGAAGAGAGGGAAGAAAAGGGAGUUCUGGGUGAGAGUUUUAGCUGGGGUCUGGGAAGGGGAAAAAACACGCUGGGAAACACCUUGCAGGAGGGCGAUACAGGUAUUCUUCCUGUUGGCUGAGGAUCUUUUUGUGUUCAUCACAUUCUAUUAUGCUUUCUAGCUAGCAUGAGAUGCUAUCUCAGUUCUUAGAGGCGAGCAGCUAAUACUUUUUUUAGUAUCUAAUUUUGCUCACUCAUAUUCUGCAUCUGAUUUUCUGACUUAUCCUUUAGACUCUGUUCUGCGUUUUUUUCUUUUUUUGUGAGUUGUUAGUCAUGCCCAUCUGGUUUUCUCUUAGAAAUCUGUUUGAAAUACAUUUUGACACACCUCCUACAUGUGAGCCCAUGGAUCGUUAUACGAAAUGAUGCGUGUAAAGGGUCAUUUUGUGUCUAUUGCUUGUGCUCUGUUUUUGCUGUUCUCCCUUUGUCAUUGGUGCUCGGCCAUAGAGGGGAUCAGACUUUCCAUCUCAGCUUGAAGGAGUAAGAGGACCCAGGAGAUAUGCUCCCUAUCUGUGAGUACUAGAAAGGCCAUGGCUACGCUCCACUCAUUUCAUCUGUAAAUGAGACAUCUAGCUUGUUUUGUACUGGUGACUCAAAUCUAUCCAUUGAGGUGGCAUUCUUCCGUCAACUAAACUUGAAACCCUUUUAAGAGAGACAAACCAUGUCAUUAGCUGUGGAUAUGAAGACAAGACUGAUUAGGCAAGGAGAUUGGAGGAGUUCAUGGUUCAGUGAUAGAAGGUAUUUUGACCGUGUUCAAGAUGUAUGCACGAGGUUGGAUUUCAAUGUAUGGCUAUAAUGGGAGGUUCAUUACGCCAAUGCCAUUGCUCAUCCCCCUCAUACCCAUGUCAGCCACUUUCUACACCCUCUCACCAUCAUUUCUCUCACUAAACCAUACCUCAUACCCAUUAAAUCUUUCAUGCCUUUACCCAUAUUUCCAUUACGCCCAUGCUUACCACAUAUCCACCAUGGCCACGUCCUCACUCACUCCUCCUUACACCCAUAUCUCACCUCCCAUGUGUGUCAUCAUCCUUCUUAGUCCCAUACCCGUAUACCCACUACCCAAAUACCCCACUUAUCCAUCUCUUACCUGUUUCUCUCUCUAUAUUAUCACCAUACCCAUACCAUGCUCGUCCUUAUUAGCCAAGACCACCUUGCAUACCCACAAAGUUCAUCACCUAUUGCUCUCCACGCCAAACAUCUUCCAUUUCAUCAAUCACCGAAAACCCUUUUUCUCACUGUUUUAAUGUUCCUUUCUUACCAAUCCUCUUGCCAUCUCACCCACGUCUACGUUACCCAUGCACGCCUGGCUGCCCAGGUUGUUGUGAGUCUCCUCUAAGGUCCCGAAUCUACCUAGCCUUCAUAGUGGCAGCAGGAGCAUAAUAAAAAAAUAAAAAAAAGGAAAGAAGAAUGUAUUGCAUGGUAGGCAUGAAACCAUUUAAAUAAUUGGUGAAUUAAAAGUCAAAGAUAUGAGUUUUUUUUAUAUUAUUUUUUAUUCUUAAUCAGUGGCAUGGUUCCAGCAGGCUUCAAGAUGGUUUUUUUUAUUAUUUUUUUCUCUUUUCUCCCACGUGUCAUCUUCUUAAUUCCACUUUACAUGUUAAAUUUUUUUUUUUAAAGUCCUAUUAUCAAAUAAUUCUUUUAAAAUCCCAACGUUUCAAAUUCAUUCAUUUAUUUUAUCUAUUUUAUUCAUUUAUUUUUUAUUUGUCUAUUUAUUUAUUUAUUUAAAAAUCUCAAUCAUUAAAAUUCAAUUUUUCAAAAAUCCGACUUCCAAAUCUAAUUUUUAAUCUAAAAAAUUCUAGUAUUCACGUUCACUCGUUUAAAUAUUAUUUCGUUAUUAUUAUCAUUAUUUCAUUUAUUUAUUUGUUUAUUUCCUUUAAAAAUUCCAAUCAUUAAAGUUUAAUUUUUCAAAAUUCCAAUUUCUUUCAAAUUUAAUUUCUAAAAAUCCGAAUUCCAAACAAACUCUAAAACCCCAAAUUUCUAGUGAUUUUCGAGAUUCCAAUUUUUCAAUUAAAUUUCAAAAAUCUAAUUUUCUUCGGAAUAGUUUUAAUUCCGCUCUGGCUUUCAAAUAAUCUUCUGCUCCUCUUGACUUUAAUAAGCAGGAACAAAUUUUUUGUAAUUCCAAAUAAUGGAAUUUAUGGGAUUAAUUCAUGCAAUAUAAAUCGGGCUUUGGUGGGGGCCCAACAUACGUGAUUUUAUGAUUGAUUGAUUUGUUUGUUAUGCGCGAUUUAUUUAUCCUGCUUUCCGACAUGCAUGCUAUUAUUUCUUAAUUGUGCACUAACCUCUCUCUUGAUAGCACAUGGUGGCUCGUCGCCUAGGUACGCACCUACUUUCACUCUGGUAAUUGUCCAAGCAUAUUUUGAUUCUCACGUGUGCAUGAUUUAUUCUGGGUACUUAUUGAUCUACUCGUCCACUGCCAUGAUUGCUUCAUUUUAUUAGUAGAGACUUGUUUUUAGGGACUUAGAAGGGUGCUAUGGUUUUUAUCGUACCUUCCUGAUAAGUAACCUAACCCCCGAACCCGAUUCGGUUUAUCACAGACCACCUUUUCCAAAGUAAGGAGUCACACUUAGGGUUUUUCUUUCUUAUUUUGUUUACUCUUUUAAAAAUAAAACAAAAAUAAGUGGCGACUCCAAGUCAUUUUAUAAUCAAUAAAAUCAAAUUUUCAAAUAAAAAUCGAGUUCGCCAUCGAGUGGGAAACGCAUGAGUCGAAAAAAUACGGGGUCCACAUAGUGGCGACUCCACUGGGGAUAUUUAGAGGGUCAAGCUUGAACUUAGGAUGAAGCAAACGUGACAUUUGAUGAGUCGAUCAGUGGGUACCUAUUUCUUGAUUGCACAUUGAGAGUUGCCGAUAUCAUUGGAUGCAUGCUUGGUUAUUAUACUCAUUUGAGAUUUUUGACAUGCUGGAUUAUUGAUGAUUGAAUCUUAUUGCAUUGUUUAGCGUAUUAAUUCUAAUUUUGGCAUGAUUGUUCUGAUCACUUCACAUGCGUACACUCACCACUGUAUAUCACUCUGCUUGACAUGUUGAUUUUCUUACUUGUAUACUAAUUUUGAUCGUCUUUGAGCAUGAUUUUUGUAUUACUAUUCAUCUUGAUUGUUGUAUUCUCGCUUAUCUUGUGUGUACAUGAUGAUAUAUCUGAGCUUUGCCUGAUUGUGUGUCGCAUGACUGCCCUCCUUUUGCAUGACUGUGUGCCGCUUGUUUAUGUGGGUCGCACAUCUAUCUCCUUAUCUCCCAUCCUCUGGUCUCGGUCAUUCCUUUCAUCUCGGUUCUCACUAUUGCAAGUGUGAGACAUUCUAUGUGCUUGCUCUCUGACCGAGCCAGAGAUUAGGAGUAGGGUCUAGCGACGGGCUAUAUCGAUGCACGGGAGCAUUCUGAAGGAGAGCGACACUUUGAUGUCGAUUGGAGUCCGAUCAUUGAAGACCUGUAUAGCCCCGAGCUAGGUUUCAUGGAUAGUCGUGCGACCAGUGUGUUUCCUCUUCUGCUAUAGAUUCUUAGCGUUUUCAGAUGCACCCACACCAUUCACUGUGCACUUUAGUUGACCAUUGAGCGUUGAGAGUUUGAGAGGUUUCACCAUAGGAAACCCCCUGGGAUGUCGAGGUAGUGCAUGUGUGGAGGUGAUGACCACCUUGCAUGGAAGCACCCCGUCUCUUCGGAGACGUGCAGAGGGUUGCGUACCGCCGGAGGGUAUGAUCGCUUCUGCUAGGGAUCUUUAAAAUCCACCCUCAUCCAUUUAGAACCACCUUGACCUUGUAGGUUGAGCUGUAAAUCCUUUGAUUAGGACUCCCUCCCUACACGUGGGUGCAUCUAAGGGCCUUCAGAGCCUCUUUAGUCAUAGUUUAGAUUUGACACUCCCUCUUUUAGUAUCCAGUUGAGAGUGCUCGGAGAUCAGUAUGAGUCUGAGUAUCGGUUGGAUCACCUUUUGUCAUGUCAUCUUGGAUUAUGUUUUCCACUCGAUGAGUUUAGUAUAUUUUCUCCUAGGGCUUUCGUCUUUCUUUCUUAGUUCGACACAUCCAUUCACUUUGUCGUCACUUGAUGGAUGCUUUGGGAUAUGAUCAUGACCAUCUUUUUACACUGUACACCUAUCACGGGCCCAGUACUUCAUCUUUCGUUUGAUCCUGGAUUCGAUUUUUGACUCGAUGCUCAUAUUUUCAUUACAGAAAGGUGAAAGGCACAUUUUUACAUUCACACAUUUUUCGAGAGAGUCACCUUGACCACCUUAUCAUCUUUAUCUUAUGGAGCUCGAGUUGAAAGUGAAUCAGAGAUAUUGUUGUUGUUGUCGCUUGGCUUUCCUAACCUAAGAGCUAUCGGGUGCCUUCUCGAACUUCAUGCGCCCCAGAGACUGCUCAUCAUACGUGUCAUAGGUGGUGGGGGCCUCAAAAUUUGUCUCUCUACUCAAGUCGACCCCGACAUCCUUGAAAGCACGGGUAAAGAAGCGGUCGUAGGGGAGUACUAGCGUCGAGCUCUCAACACAGGAGAUCAUAUGCAUCAUCAUAAGGUAUCUAACAUGAAUCCGUCUCCCGAUGAGGAUCGAGUCCACAAUGAAAGCCUCGAGGUAGGAGACCUCGUCUCGAUGUCCUCCACGUGGCAAGAGAAUCGAACAGAUCAUAUGGUGAAGGACUCGGCUAGUCAUUGUCAAGCUGUGAACUGAUGUUUUGCCCAUCUCCUAGGGAUCAACAAGUCUUCACAACCUCUGAACAGCCUCUCUAGGCUCAAAUCCUGGCACAGUGGGCCACGCCUUGGCCUCAUAAACACGGAGUCCAAUCGAAGGGAUGUCGAGAAUGCGGCAGAUGCUCUCGGGACUCAAACGGAUCUCAACGCCUCUCAUAGUGGAUAAUACGGGUCCUCCAAGCCCGUAGGUUGCCCGAGAAUAGAAAGCCCGCACCAGAGUCGGGAAGACCGGCUCAGAGAUCGUCACUACGGGCAGCCAUCCCAUCCGUCCGAAUAGCCUCUCAAAGUCAAAGUGCUGAAGUUGAGAGAAGUUGACACUUCUCCCUGGAAUGACUUUUCUCUGGGCAAAUUUCUGCUUGUAGCGUUGAUAGUCUUCAUUCGAACUGAAGAGUGUCGUGUCAAACCUCGCCUUUCGACGAUCCUCCGUCUGCUCGGGCUGAGAUGGCUCAACAGGGUGCUUACCCUGAGCCNNNNNNNNNNNNNNNNNNNNNNNNNNNNNNNNNNNNNNNNNNNNNNNNNNNNNNNNNNNNNNNNNNNNNNNNNNNNNNNNNNNNNNNNNNNNNNNNNNNNAAGCGCGCGGGGGGCGUUUUAAAUUCUCAGCCCUGACGAACCGGUCAACCGAUUCCUCAACCGGUCGAUCGCCUGGUCAACGAUCAACGGUCAAUUUUUCCAAAUUUUCUUGCAUUUUCUUGUCUCAUGAUCCUCUCCCUGCCCUUUUUAGUUGAAAUCCCUAAUUUUUUAUGUCUAAUACCAUGGGAAUUUUGAUUUUUGGUCAAAAUUUGACCUCUUUCCUAUGAUUAUUUCUAUAUGAUGCAUAUGAUAUGAAUUUCACGCAAUCAUAUGAUAUAUUCAAAAGCAAUAUCAACAAGAAUUCAUCAAGCAAUCAUUUGAUCAUAAAGAAAUCACCCCUAGUUGUCUUCUAAUAUCAACAAAUUGCUCUUCACUUAGGGGUUUUAUAAAAAUAUAGGCAAGUUGAUCUUUUGUGUUUACAAAUUCAAGUGUAAUGUCACCCUUUUGUGCAUGGUCUCUAAGAAAAUGAUGUCUUAUCUCCAUAUGCUUAGUCCUAGAGUGUUGUACCGAAUUCUUUGAAAUAUUUAUGGCACUAGUGUUAUCACAUUUUAUAGGAACAUGCUCAAAAAUCAAAUUGAAAUCACCAAGUGUUUGUUUCAUCCAAAGGAUUUGUGCACAACAUAAACCGAUUGCUAUUUAUUCGGCUUCCGCCGUAGACAAGGCUACCGAAUUUUGCUUCUUACUAUGCCAUGAAACAAGUUAAUGUCCUAGGAAAUGACAAGUGUCACUAGUGUUUUUCCUCUCAACUUUACAACCGGCAAAAUCGGCAUCUGAGUAUCCAAUUAAUUCAAAGUUAUNNNNNNNNNNNNNNNNNNNNNNNNNNNNNNNNNNNNNNNNNNNNNNNNNNNNNNNNNNNNNNNNNNNNNNNNNNNNNNNNNNNNNNNNNNNNNNNNNNNNNNNNNNNNNNNNNNNNNNNNNNNNNNNNNNNNNNNNNNNNNNNNNNNNNNNNNNNNNNNNNNNNNNNNNNNNNNNNNNNNNNNNNNNNNNNNNNNNNNNNNNNNNNNNNNNNNNNNNNNNNNNNNNNNNNNNNNNNNNNNNNNNNNNNNNNNNNNNNNNNNNNNNNNNNNNNNNNNNNNNNNNNNNNNNNNNNNNNNNNNNNNNNNNNNNNNNNNNNNNNNNNNNNNNNNNNNNNNNNNNNNNNNNNNNNNNNNNNNNNNNNNNNNNNNUUACUAGCGGUCAAAUAUAGUAAAGAACCUAUCAUGCCUCUAUACAUAGUUGAGUUGACGGGCUUACCUUUCUCAUCCAUGUCAAGCUUGAUGGAUGAACUCAUUGGAGUCUUCAUUGUUUUGGCUUCCUCCAUAUUGAACCUUUUGAGGAGAUCCCUUAUAUACUUGGCUUGAUUGAUGAAGGUUCCUUCCUUUAGUUGCUUGAUUUGAAGUCCAAGGAAAAAGUUAAGUUCUCCCAUCAUGUUCAUUUCGAACUCACUAUGCAUACAUUUUGAGAAUUAUUCACAAAGAGAGACAUUAGUAGCUCCAAAAAUGACAUCAUCAACGUAUAUUUGAACUAAGAGCAUGUCAUUAUCUUUGGUUUUUAUGAAAAGAGUUCUGUCAAUUUUUCCCAUUUUAAAACCCUUUUUCAAAAGAAAUUUACUCAAUCUUUCAUAUCAUGCUCUAGGUGCUUGUUUCAAACCAUAAAGUGCAUUUUUAAGUCUAAAAACAUGAUUAGGAAAGUUAAAACUUUGAAAAUCGGGUGGUUGUUCAGCAUAUACCUCUCCAUUUAUAAAGCCAUUUAAGAAAGCAUUUUUCACAUCCAUUUGAUAUAAAACAAAGUCUUUAAAACAUGCAAAGACAAGUAGCAUCCUAAUGGCUUCCAAUCUAGUUACGGGAGCAAAGGUUUCUUCAUAAUCUAUCCCUUCUUCUUGAUUAAAACCUUGGGCUACCAAUCUUGCUUUAUUCCUUAUAAUUAUGCCAUUUUCAUCCAUUUUGUUUCUAAAGACCCAUCUAGUUCCAAUAACACUUUGAUUUUGAGGUCUUGGCACUAAUUCCCAUACUUCACUUCUUUCAAAUUGGUUUAACUCUUCUUGCAUGGAAAUCAUCCAAUUUUCAUCAACUAGAGCAUCUUUUAUAUUUUUAGGUUCAAUUUGAGAGAUAAAAGCAAGAUUAUUGCAAAUAUUUCUAAGGGAUGAUCUAGUCCUUACUCCACUAGAUGGAUUACCUAUAAUUUGAUCUUGUGGGUGGUUGAUGACAAAUUUCCAAUCUUUAGGUAGGUCUUGGCUUGAUUCACCUUGCACUUGUUGAGGAGGAGGUAGUGCCAAAGGUGAUUCCUCUUUCUUGGGAUCCUCUACAACUUUUUCUUGUUGCCUUCUAUUUUCAGUUUGUAAUUUUCCCAUGGAGGUCUCCNNNNNNNNNNNNNNNNNNNNNNNNNNNNNNNNNNNNNNNNNNNNNNNNNNNNNNNNNNNNNNNNNNNNNNNNNNNNNNNNNNNNNNNNNNNNNNNNNNNNAGUUCAUCACCUAUUGCUCUCCACGCCAAACAUCUUCCAUUUCAUCAAUCACCGAAAACCCUUUUUCUCACUGUUUUAAUGUUCCUUUCUUACCAAUCCUCUUGCCAUCUCACCCACGUCUACGUUACCCAUGCACGCCUGGCUGCCCAGGUUGUUGUGAGUCUCCUCUAAGGUCCCGAAUCUACCUAGCCUUCAUAGUGGCAGCAGGAGCAUAAUAAAAAAAUAAAAAAAAGGAAAGAAGAAUGUAUUGCAUGGUAGGCAUGAAACCAUUUAAAUAAUUGGUGAAUUAAAAGUCAAAGAUAUGAGUUUUUUUUAUAUUAUUUUUUAUUCUUAAUCAGUGGCAUGGUUCCAGCAGGCUUCAAGAUGGUUUUUUUUAUUAUUUUUUUCUCUUUUCUCCCACGUGUCAUCUUCUUAAUUCCACUUUACAUGUUAAAUUUUUUUUUUUAAAGUCCUAUUAUCAAAUAAUUCUUUUAAAAUCCCAACGUUUCAAAUUCAUUCAUUUAUUUUAUCUAUUUUAUUCAUUUAUUUUUUAUUUAUUUAUUUAAAAAUCUCAAUCAUUAAAAUUCAAUUUUUCAAAAAUCCGACUUCCAAAUCUAAUUUUUAAUCUAAAAAAUUCUAGUAUUCACGUUCACUCGUUUAAAUAUUAUUUCGUUAUUAUUAUCAUUAUUUCAUUUAUUUAUUUGUUUAUUUCCUUUAAAAAUUCAAAUCAUUAAAGUUUAAUUUUUCAAAAUUCCAAUUUCUUUCAAAUUUAAUUUCUAAAAAUCCGAAUUCCAAACAAACUCUAAAACCCCAAAUUUCUAGUGAUUUUCGAGAUUCCAAUUUUUCAAUUAAAUUUCAAAAAUCUAAUUUUCUUCGGAAUAGUUUUAAUUCCGCUCUGGCUUUCAAAUAAUCUUCUGCUCCUCUUGACUUUANNNNNNNNNNNNNNNNNNNNNNNNNNNNNNNNNNNNNNNNNNNNNNNNNNNNNNNNNNNNNNNNNNNNNNNNNNNNNNNNNNNNNNNNNNNNNNNNNNNNNNNNNNNNNNNNNNNNNNNNNNNNNNNNNNNNNNNNNNNNNNNNNNNNNNNNNNNNNNNNNNNNNNNNNNNNNNNNNNNNNNNNNNNNNNNNNNNNNNNNNNNNNNNNNNNNNNNNNNNNNNNNNNNNNNNNNNNNNNNNNNNNNNNNNNNNNNNNNNNNNNNNNNNNNNNNNNNNNNNNNNNNNNNNNNNNNNNNNNNNNNNNNNNNNNNNNNNNNNNNNNNNNNNNNNNNNNNNNNNNNNNNNNNNNNNNNNNNNNNNNNNNNNNNNNNNNNNNNNNNNNNNNNNNNNNNNNNNNNNNNNNNNNNNNNNNNNNNNNNNNNNNNNNNNNNNNNNNNNNNNNNNNNNNNNNNNNNNNNNNNNNNNNNNNNNNNNNNNNNNNNNNNNNNNNNNNNNNNNNNUUUUUUUUUAAAAUAUUUUUUUUUUUUAAAAAAAACCCAAAUUUAAAAAAAAAAAUUUUUUUAAUGGGAGUCUUUUUUUCUAGGGGGGGGUUUCCAUGUAAAAAAAAAUUUUUUUUAAAAAAAAAAAAUUUUCUAAAGGGGACUUGUUUUUUGAGGGGGGGGGUUUUAUGGGGAAAAAAUUUUUAUUUUUUUUUAAAAAUAUUUUUUGUUUAAAAAAAAUUUUUUUAAAGGGAACUUGUUUUUUCAAGACCCGGGUUUCCAUUGGAAAAACAAUUUUUUUUUUUUUAAAAAAAAAUCCCAAAUUAAAAAAAAAAAAAACAAUUUUUUUUUUAAAAAUAUAAUUUUUUUACAUGGGAACUCGUUUUUUGAAGGGAGGGGUUCCCAUGUAAAUUUUUUUUUUUUAAAUAUAUAUAUAUAUAUAAUAAUAAUAAUAAUUAAAAAAAAAAAAAAAAAAAAAAAAAAACAAUUCCUAAAGGGAACUCGUCUCUUCAAGAGACGAGUUCCCAUGUAAAAAAAAUUAUAUUUUAAAAAAAAUUUGUUUUUGUUUUUUUUUUUUUUUUUAAUUUGGGAUUUUUUUUUAAAAAAAAAAUAUUGUUUUUCCUGAAGAGACGAGUUCCCUUUAGGAAAUUUUUUUUUAAACAAAAAAUAUAUUUAAAAAAAAAUAAUAAUUUUUUUCCUCUCUUGAAGAGACGAGUUCCCUUUAGGAAUUUUUUUUUUUAAUAUAUAUAUUUUUAAAAAAAAUAUAUUUUUUUUUACAUGGGAACUCGUCUCUUCAAGAGACGAGUUCCCUUUAAGAAUUUUUUUUUUUUUUUUAAUUUGGGAUUUUUUUUAAAUAAAAAAUAUAUUUAAAAAAAAAAAAAAAUUCCCAAAGAGACGAGUUCCCUUUAGGAAAUUUUUUUUUAUUUAAUUUGGGAUUUUUUUUAAAUAAAAAAUAUAUUUAAAAAAAAAAAAAUUUUCCCUGGGAACUCGUCUUUCCCUUGUCUUUUUUCAUGGAACUCGUCUCUUAAAGAGACGAGUUCCCUUGAGUAAAUGGGAAUUUUUUUAAAAAAAUAUAUAUAUUUUUUUUCAUGGAACUCGUCUCUUCAAGAGACGAGUUCCCUUUUAUAAUAUCCUAUCACCCUAUCUCCUAUCCCCUCUCUCCUCUCUCCUCUCUNNNNNNNNNNNNNNNNNNNNNNNNNNNNNNNNNNNNNNNNNNNNNNNNNNNNNNNNNNNNNNNNNNNNNNNNNNNNNNNNNNNNNNNNNNNNNNNNNNNCUCUCCUCUCUCUCACCCUCUCUCCUCUCUCCUCUCUCACCCUCUCUCCUCUCUCCUCUCUCCUAUGUGGCAAAAACUACCAUAUAUUUGUAAUAACUUCUUCUACUACAAUAAUUUAAGCAUAACUUUUUUAAACUACUGUACUAUUGAGAAAAGUCCCAAAAACUUCGACAAGUAGAGGCAGUGGGGGGAAUGCCCUCUCACCAUUGAAUUGAACUCUUGUAUUUUUUUUCUCUGCGAGUCCACGUGGGUUUGUCCCCUCACUCGUCACAUUCACACCACAUAUAUAUGUAGCGGGCCGUAGAUUAGAAAAUUCAUAUUCCUUUUGCUAAUAGUCCAUGCAAAGUCAUCCUCAAUGAUCCAUGAGUGAACUAACGGAAUUUUUAGCAUUCAGAUAAAAAUAUCAAAGUGUAUUUUUUUGGUACUUAACGAAAAAUCAAGCAAAGAACGUCCAUCAUGCAACCUAAGUCUCAUUAUUUUAUGCAAUUCCUACUCGUUUGUAUCACAUAAAGAGUCUCACUACUUCGUAUUUUGAUUUCAUUUGUUUGUACAUUAAUCCCAUAUAUUUGCAUUUUUAUCUAAUAGUCGAGAUUUAAAGUUUGAUAAUUAUGAAUUAUGUACCUUAUCGUUUCUCAAAAUGUCUUCUCAACAUAAAUACAACAUUCCCACAACAUGAAAUAACUUGAUGUCUCCCGAAUUUGAAAUGUUGAAAGCUAUUGAAGUUCCUAUAACUAAAACCAAUCACACAUGAGAGACACCCCUUCAAAGUUGAAAAACUAUGAGCUAGCCUUUAAUCAAGCACCCAUUGUAGUUUUUCAUCUACCAUGCAACUUGUUGCAAGGGUGGCCUCAAACUUUUGAGAGACGAAGGGGUAUGAUUUUUCAUAACAUAAAAAUAAUGGGAAUUCUCUCUAGAAAAACCAUAGCAAAUAGUAGUAAAAAACUCAAUGAUCAACAAGUUGGUUGUGUAAUAUGAAAAUCAAGAACCCUAGUGGCUUGUACCAUAUACAAUCCAAUUAGGUAGAGUCUUAAGCAAUUUGAAAAGAAUAAAAGCCAGUAAAGAAGUCAUGAUUCUUAAUCAUUAAAUGUGUAAUCAGAAAAUAAUUAAAGUCAAUAAAUCAAUCAUGAAAAUAUUCUACUACACUUGAGAUUGGUGGGAGUAGUGUGGGACUUUGGAGUUGAAGCAGCCUAUGGCAUGGGUGCUUUUUGGCACUCCUUGCGGCUGAGUUGGCCGGUCGAUUGACCAAGGAAGGUCCAUGGGUUUGUCAAUGAAGCGGCACAUGCCUCCACACUCAGCCCUGCCCGCUCACGCAGGUUGAUUAAUUGCCUCAUGAAAUUUGUACUCGUAUUUUCCCUAUUUGUGAACUCCUUUAGUCACAUUUGUUUGGGAAAGUAGGAAGAAAAACAAGUGUUAAGAAAAAUUAUUUUUUCAUUUGAUUGUAGGCUUGCAUUAUAAAAAAAUAUAAGAGAAAAUGAAAUAUAAUUAAAAUUAAAUAGAAAUCUAUGUAUUUUACAUUUAUUUAAUUUUUUAUUAAAAAAUUAAAAUAAAUGAAAUAAGUUUGAAAUAAUAUAUAAAAAUAAUUUAUUAAUUUUAAAUAUAUAUUUUUAUUUUCUUUCAAUUUUUCUUCUUUUCUACUUUUCUAUUCUAUUUUUUUUUCUUAUAUUUUCCUCAAAUUUUUGGAGCAAAAUAUACCUUCAAUGUAAUCCAACAAUCCAUUUUUACAUGACUUUUAAUGUACAAAAACUAAAAGGGAAAAAAAAAACCUUAUCCAAAACUAACCUCACAAGGCGUAAGUUGAAGUUAAAGCAAUAGGUGAAACUACCCAACUAAAAUACAAUAGUGAAGGAGCUUGGCCCAAUUGGAGGUGGCCUGAUUAAGCCAAGUGUCAGACAUGUUCCAUCCAAAGAUGAAAAGUCGCCAUAUAUGAUGAUGAAAAAUUGCGAUAUAUUGAUGAUAUUUCUUCGAAAUAUUAGAUUUCAAUCGUCAUCAAAAUGAAAUUUCAUGGAGAAAUAUCAAUAUCAUGACUUUUUAGUUAUUUUUUAGAUUCUUUCACAUGGAACCUUCCAUGUGUGUAUAUAUAUAUAUAUUAUAAAUUUGUCCUAAAAACAAAAUAUUUAAAAAAUAUUUUAUUAAAUAAAUUAAUUCUAAUUAUUUUAUUUUAAAAUUUGAUUUAGUUUAUUACAAAAAAUAUAUAAGCAUAAUUUUCUUAAUAGGUUUUUUUUAUAUAUAUAUAAUUUAUAUAUUUAUUAAAUAUAAAAUAAAAAUAAAAAUAUUAAAAAAAUUAUAUAUACAUAUCAUCAUUUAUUUUAUAUUAUUGAAUACAUUUGAAUUAAAAUGGGUUAUAAUUUUCAUAGUAAAUAUAUCUUAAAAUUAGACAUAUUAUCACAAUAUCAUCGUAAAAAAAUAUAUAUAAUGCAACUUAAUAAUGAAUGUUCACUUAUAAAAUUUAUAUUUUUUUUACCAACAUAGAGGAUAUUAUUAAAAAAAAUCAAAAUGGUUAUUAUUACUUCUUAUAUAUAUAUUAGAAUUUUUCAUAAUAUUUUUAUAAGUUUUUAUUAAUUUUUACAAUACUGAUAUUUUGUUCCUAAUAUAUCCAUAAAAUUGAAUUACCGAUAUAUCCAUCAAAACCAAUAUUUUCAUAAUUGGUUCCAUUAGCGUCAGUCAUUUCUAUUAUGUAUCCAUUGAAUAUUGCAUAGAUAGUCUUGAUCAACCAAUACUAGUUAAAUCAUGGUUACCUCUUGUUAGUCUAUGGUCAACAAAACAAAGAAUUAAGAUUUAAUAUCUCACUCAUGUGUAUGUAGGUGUUAAGCAUGAAAAUAUAAAUCAAUUAAAAUUAAAGAUGAUUUUAAGCUGGUACGAAGGAAGAACUUGUUUUAGUUUAAGUAUUUUCUUAUAUACAUUCUCUAAUUGUUUUCAAAAUAAAUCAAGAAGUCGAUACAUGCAUUUGUGAAUUGUUUGGGAACCUCAAAAAGUCAUUUUGUGAAAGAUAGUAACUUGGUUAGUUGAUUGGUUGCCAAUAUUGGCAUCUUCAUGAUUUGUUCCUAUGACAAUGACUAGCAAAUGCAGGUUUAGAAGAUUAAUUUUUCAAUUGAGCAAUUAACUAAUCAACCUAUUUUACACUGUAAAAUUUUCAUGUAAGAAACAUUUAUUGUUAAUGGCUAGUUAGGAACUAGAUGAUUGAUCUGUCAAGCAAAUUGCUAUAUAACGGCUAGUUUAUGGUCAUUAUAUAUAUAUAUAUAUAUAUAAAAGGCUCUUAAAUUUCAUAUUUGACCUCUCAACUACCUAAAUAUUAGUGGUGAUCUAUUUUCAUGAGCUUUUAAUCCUCUUAAAUGCAAUUGUUGCCAAACUUGCAUACAAUAGUAGUUGCACCAUUGUGGACCCUCGCCCGAUCCACCGAUCGGUGUAACUCGCUAUUCUAAGGGUGAAAGAGAAAGCUGGUUUUCGAGUUUUGAAAAAUUCGUCCCAAUGAGGAACGGUUUUGUUUGGAGUCGCCACUUACUUUUUAUUUUUAUUUUUAAAUGGGGAAAAUUUAAGUAAGAACAAAAGCCCCAGCAUGACUUCAGUAAGGAAAAAGCGGUCUCCGAAAACUAGAUUCUGGGUCCGAGGAUCAGGUUACCUAUCGGGAAGGUACCUCAUACGAGGUAGCACCCCUUUAGGCCUGGAACUCAGUCUCUACUAAUGAACUGGGUAUAUGGGAGCAUAUGGGUCAAAGAUCAAACAAACCUUGGGCUAAACAAAUGACAUGAAUCACAUAGACCCGCCUAGUAUUUAGCAUGCACAUACACUUAAUAAGUUAAAAUCAGAGUGCAUACCUGAGGUCCCCAGCCAAGCGUUGCAUAAGAGGUCAAUCAAUAAGCUUAAAUGCAGAAUAAAUAUACAUAGCAAUCAUGCACCAAACAUUCAUGUGAAUUUCAUUAUCCAAAGCCAAAGUGCAUACCUAUGGUCCCCAGCCAUGCGCUACAAGGAAAAGGUGAGGCAAGUAAUACAGGCAAUAAAACAUUAAAUAUUCCGAAAUAACUAGAAGGAGGAAUUGAACUUAAGCAAGAAUUCUGAGAGUAAUUAGAAACGUACCCUAAAAGAACCAGCUUUUGAGAGCUGUUUUUCAGCUUCAAGUAAGAUUGAUUCUCCUUCUGCAAAAUCCACUCAAGACCGAUGAUCAUGAUCUCUUUUUCUUCUUUCCAAAGCAAACAAAAAUUCAUUUUUUUUUCUCAAGAUCCUUCAUUUUUCCUGUUCUCUCUGUUUUUCUUUAAAAACCUUUCCCUCUUCUCUCUCUUAGACCUUCGUUUUUCAUUUUCUCUAGGUGCCAAACCCUCAGAGACCCCUAGACUCUUCCCUCACGCUUUCAGUUUCCCUUUCUACAAAGUCUCUACCCCAGAUUUCUCAAAAAACCCCAUCUUUUCCUCUCCAAACGUCUCCUCUUUUCCUUCCCUCUCAAACUUCCCUCCUCAACAUUCGCACCACCCCAUUUUCUUUCCCCUUCAGCUCUGGAAAUCCCCACCUUCAGCCUCGAAACCCCAACUCAUUUAGCUCCCAUCUUCCCGAGGUGGGCAACUGCCCCUCAUUACUUCAUAAUUCCUUGCCCGCCAAGAAUCCACAUGAGUUCAAGGUGGGUUGCAAUCAGCCCGAAAAAUGACCCAAAUCGAACAUAAAACCAUCCUCCUAACCCAUCUGGAGCACCAGGGCUCGAACCAGCCUGAACAAGGGCACCAAAAAUGCCAAAAAUAGAGCCGUUAGCAAGCAGUCCCGAUAAACUGGUCGACCAGUUGCCAACCGGUUGACCGCCUAAAAAAAAACUUGACGAACUAGUUGAACCGGUUGACCAUCCGGUCGACCAGUUGAGAAAAAAUCUCAAAUUUUGUUACAAUAUUCCUUAAAGAAUAAGGAAUCCAAAAAAAAAAACGGUGUGCGAUUCCGAGUUCGAAAGAGGGAGAUAUGAUCGAAACAAGCCCAAGUGCUCCGUAUUCGAACCUGCUCCUAUGAACUCCAACUGAAUUGAAGUUUUGGGGAGACCUCACUUCCUUCCUUUAGCAUGAUGUGAGCAACUAGGGAAUUGACCAUGACGACACUCCAAAAUGAACUACACACUCGCACUACAUUGGACCGCAGAUGAACCUACACAAGGCUCGAAAACCGAUCAAGCCCAAGAGAAGGGUUAUAGCGGUGCCAAACGGAAAAAAUUGGGUGCAUGUGACACCCCUAAGAUAAAUGCAAGUGUCGAUGGACAAAAUUGAGGGUCUACAAAUACGCCCCUCUUAAGUAGAAUGAAUGAACGAGUGAAACGCAAGUGCAAAGUGCAAACAAUGAAUGAGUGAAAUGAACUCUAGUGAAGAAUUCAAAUGACCAACAAUUUUGUCCCCACAUAACAAUAAAGAAGGCUAAGGGAAAUGAGUCAUGCUGACCGAAUGGACUAGGGGAUCCAGGCACAAUGCCGGAGAAAGCUAAAGGAAUCUAGACACGAUGCCAGAGAAGACUAAAGGAAACCGGACGCAAUGCUGGAAAAGAUCAAGAGAUCUAGACAUAAUGCCGGAGUAGACUAAAGGAAAAGGGAUCAAGUCCGGGCGAGUACUAGAGAACCCAAGGAAAUCCGGGCACAAUGCCGGAGAAGAGAUCGUAUCUGGGCGAGUACCUAAAAAGGGGUAGAAUCCGGGUGAGUAUCGGAAAAGUGUCCAGGCGACUAUGAGGAAAGGGUCUGGGCGAGUACCGAAAAAUGGUCGAAUCCGGGUGAGUACCAGAAAAUGGGUAAAAUCAAGGUGAGUAUUGAAAAAAGGGUAGAAUCCGGGUGAGUACCGGAAAAGGGUCCGGGCGAGUACCGGAAAAGGGUCUGAGCGAGUACCGGAAAAGAGUCCGGGCGAGUACCGAAAAAGGGUCUGGGUGAGUACUAGGAAAAGAGUAGAAUCCAGAUGAGUACCGGAAAACCCAAAAAAACUAGCCAAGCACANNNNNNNNNNNNNNNNNNNNNNNNNNNNNNNNNNNNNNNNNNNNNNNNNNNNNNNNNNNNNNNNNNNNNNNNNNNNNNNNNNNNNNNNNNNNNNNNNNNNGUGUAUGCCCCAGUAUAAACAUGAGAACACCACUAAAAGAUUCAAAUAAGCAAGAAAUCAAACAUCUCAAUCACGAAAGAUGAAAGGGUAUGCCUCAGGGUGACGUCUAGAAAAUGCCAAGAAAUGACAAGCGAAAAAACAAGAACACCACUAACAAAAUGGAAAAAAAGGGGGUAUGCCCCUGUAGGAUAACUCAGAAAUGUGACUAGAGGUGAAAAGAAAGGGUUAUGCAUCAGUCUAAGAUAUCCAUACCAUGUCAGAAUCCCAUAACCGUACAUAUGGUCAAAAUCAGAGAGUUGAAAACAUCACAAACAUUCAUCCUAUAACAACAUCGACUUUAUUCCGCAACAUCCAAUAUCCACAAAAAAACUGAUAGGGGGUAUGCCCCAGUGUGCACAUAUGAUAUGCAAGUGCCUCGGUAAAAAAAAAAACUCUGACAUAUAUCACUGAAGACCUAAUCGUCUGGAUAAGCAAAUAUGACAAAGUAUGGGGUAUGCCCCAGUGUGCACACCCACUGGGUCGACGAAUACGCAUGAAUCUUAUCCCGGGCCAUUUCUCAAAAGCAAGCUGCUAUAUGAAGAAACCAAGCUGAAUGUGGGGGCCUACUCAAACAUUGAUGCCAAGUGUCGCUUGGUGAAAUAGGUUGCCUACGUCCUAGUGUAAGAACUGAUGCCAGCAUGUAAGGAUAGGGGUAUGCCCUAGUAUGAAUAUAACAAACCAGCAAACGGAGGAGGUCUUGGACAGUCUCAACUCUCUACAUUAUCUGUCUCUGAUCUUGGACCAAAAGCGAAGAAACGAAACGGAAAAGCAGUAUGCGAUCCUCGAUAUCCCUCAAGAAAUGGAGUCCUGUCGGCAUCUUGUACUUCAAUCAGUAGACGGAGCUUGUCCGAAUGAAAUGCGUCGAAGCAAACACGAGAUCUCAUGGUCUCAGGGUGAUCUUACUACUCAGACCGUAAUGAAGGCUAGAGGUAAAAGG
This 55028-nucleotide long non-coding RNA is filed under the name Vitis vinifera (wine grape). RNAcentral describes it as "long non-coding RNA (VVIN_LNC003458)". Lineage: Eukaryota; Viridiplantae; Streptophyta; Magnoliopsida; Vitales; Vitaceae. The record is from RNAcentral.